AUAAAACAAUAUUUUUAAAACACUGCAUAAUUAAUUUUUACAGCGAAAAAGUAAAAUAAAUUCAUAUAUAUUGUAAUACAGAUAACCAAAGUAUAAAAUUAAAUUUGCAGUGACACGUGGGCCCACGAACGACCAAAGGUAUCUAGAGAGAUAAACCUACAUAUUUUGAGGAUGCCAGUCCAAUUGUAAUCCUCGAUGAAAUGAGCUAUCUACUGACUAUCUUGAGCCUGAAAGGGUUGGAAAGGAGGGUGGUGGGAUUAUAUAAUCCCAGUGAGUAAACAAAUAUCAUUUAAAAUAUCUAAAGGCGAGUAAAAGGAGACUAUUAAAACAUUUCAUCAAACUAUAAUUUAUCAUCUUUCAACUUAUUUCAACCAAAUGAAAUCAAUUUAUUUAAAUCAAGUAAUCAGUAUGGCUUAUGAAUUUCUUAAAAGCUUGGCUUAUACAAAAAAUUAUUAUCAUACUCAAUUAUUUGGGAUACCUUGGCCGAGGGCUAUCCCAUCUGAGUCCGCCAAGGCUAUUAGAAAGUCAUGUUUUAUUUUGAAAACAUAGUCGUUCCUUGGCGUUGGCCGAGUUCAUCCUCACGUGGUGGUUUGGCGUGAAGUGGACUCUAAACGUUAUACCUUGGGAGUUACCCUACUCACCUCUCCAACCGAGGUAAAAUAUAACAGGAUUUCGUGCCCCUCUAAUAGGCUAGUCCACAGAACCCAGCCCAUUGCAGCAGGUCAAACCCACCAUGCAAUCAAAUUUUGACAACAUGAUAGGGCUAAUAUAUUACUACCCAGCCUGCAAGGGUAAAAUAAAGUAAUUCAUACAAUUCAUAAAACACAGUCCAGCUAGUCAUGCCAACACAAUAACAUAAGCCAUCAAUUAAAUUUUAAAUUUACAACAUAUUAGUGGUCUCCAAUUACUCUAUUUUCAAAAUCGUUAUUUCGCUUCAAGACAAUUUAUAAAAUAUUUUCAUUUAAACUCAUUUUUGUUUAUAAAACCUAAAAUUAGCCAUUUAAAAUCAUUUUCAUAUAAUUUCACCAAAACCGAAUUAAAACAUACUUCAGAUAAUUAAAAUGAUGAUAAGGUUACUCACAGUACUAGGAGUUCGAUAUACUGUUAUUCCCGAUUUUCGAGCACACACUCUUUACCCUUGUUAGAGGGCUCACCACCUUGAUACAGUACAAAAUGGAAAAACUUACUACAUUGGUACUAAAUUGAAAUUAAACUAAUUUAAACUACUAAUGCAUGAUAUGGAAUGCAAAAUGUCCGAUUAAUCGCUUAAAUGUGAUAUUCGACCUAAAUCACACUAUACUAGGUCUAAUCAACUAAAAUCUCCAAUUUAAGUCCAAAUCAAUUCUUCUCACUAUGUACACUCUAAUUAUACCUAAAUUACCUCAGUGACUGUGAAUGAGAUUCAAUUUAUCAGUCCCAGGGUCAAUAAUCACACUUGUCUAUACGUUGAGCAAAAAUUUGAAUUUUCACACCAAAAUUUCCCAUUUAAUUUCUAGUCUCACCAAACAUCAAAUAUCACCAAAAUGUCAUGAAAUAUCAUCAAUUAUAGCCACAAUAUCCUCCUUAGGAAAUUCGGCCAUCGAUGGUUGAUGGGGAAAAUGAAUUCUUUUCUUGUUGUUUUGUUUCUAAAUAUGCUAACUAACUAAAAACACUAACAUAACUUAAAAUCAAAUCAAUCUAACAUCUUUCUCUCUCCAUACCCAUUUUGACCAGCCAUGAAUUCACCAUGAAAACAUGAAAUCUAACCAUGAAAAAUUAGGAGAAAUGCUUAAGGAAAAUAGAUUUCAAGUUUAAAUUGCGAAAUCCUACUUUUUUCACUUGUUUUCCGUGAUUUUCCACACUUUUUCUCUUGAAAUUCUUCACCUCGAGUUUGUUCUCUUCCGUUUUCCCUUUGUUCAUGAUGUGGCCGAAUAUGGAGAACAAGAAUGUGAUAAAUAUGGGCUGAUUUUUAUAAAAAAUAAUAAAAUAUCCUUGCUUGACACGUGUCACAUGCUUAUUGGUCCAUUUUUCUUUUUAUACUUUAAUAAUUAUGAUUCCAUUCUCCACCACAUGAUUUGUCAAAGGUCAAAAUGAGGAUAAGGGAAGACCAUGUGAUGGACAAGUGUCCUAUUGAUGAAAAAUUACUAUUUUGCCCUUAGGGUGGUAAAAUUACCAUUUUAGCCCUAAGCUCUAAAAAACACCGGGAUUUUCACUUCUCAACCUCAAAUCAUACUCCAAUAAGUCAUAUAUGAUCAAAAUCUUCUAAAAGAUUUCCCAUUUUGUCCUCGAGUGGCAAAAUUACCAUUUUACCCCUAGAUAGUGAAAUUUUUGAUUUGACUCCAAAUUAAUCCCCAAACCCCAAAUCACCAUUUUAAGUCAUUCUAGGACUUUAAAAUUUUCAAUUUCACCCUAAAAUCUCUAUUUGAUCUAGUUCGAGGCUUAAAUCAACUUUGUUGUACCUCUAGGUACAAUACCGACUUUUGUAAAUUUUUCAGGACUCUCUUAGCAUGCAAACAUGCUAUCCAUCACAUGUAUGUUAUGACAAGUAUUUUAUAAGGUCGGGCUUUACACAAGUGUUAAAACAACUAACUAUUAAUAGAUGUUCUUCAUUUAUCAAUAGAUGAGCUUAUCUAUCAAUAGAUGAAGAACAUCUAUUAAUAGAUUGAUGGCAUUUUUUCAAAUUAGAAGAGACUUUUUGCUUGUUUUCUAUUUAAAGUGCUUAGCUCUUUUAUUAAACCUUUUUAAAGGAUUGCUUGAACUUGUUUGAACAUAUAAAAUGCAAUUUUCAUCAUUUGCUUAUCAAAUCCAAACUUAGACUUAAAUGAAGCUUUAAGUUUAAAAUCUUCCCCUUUUGAUGUGACAAAAUAGUUGAGCGACAUUUGGUUUUGUUUCUUUGAAAAAGUCCCCUUGAUUUUAUUCUAAUGUGUUGAAAGAUUCCCCCUAAAACUUUGCAUUUAAAAUCAAGUACAAAUAUUAACACAUUCUCCCUUUUUUGUCAUAUCAAAGAGCGAGUGUGUGGGAACGUUAAAGAGAAGGAAGUAAAAUGGAAAGUGAAUAAUAGAUAAAGGUAAAGCAGUAAGUAAGGAAAUAUAUUGAGCAUAACAUUUAUGUAAACAUUAAAAUGUCUAAAAUAUUCACCAGUUAAUCAAAUCUAAAAACAUUGAAAACAUGAAACAAAUAUCCAAAUGUAUAUUUGAAAAACAAACUAAGUAUAGCCAAAAUGACAUGAUGCAUGAAAAUGAGAUGCACAUCAAGCCAUUGAGCAAAGUUGUCCAAAAUUGAGGCGAAGAGAUGUCUUUUGUGAGAGCUCACUGUGGCGGUGGAAAGCAAGAAUGAAACUCAUCCUCCAAGUCUCAUAGGCAUGGCAAUAUCUCACAAUUUUAUGCCUCUAAGACAUCCAUACGCCCAGUCAAUCUAGAAUAGAAGAUAAGUCGAGUGAAGGCAUGCUUAACAUCGAAGGCAGUAGACAUAGGCGGUGCACUAGAUUGAGCAUAGGACAGGCCACCAAGAUAGGCGCUCGAUUCCCCCUCAUUGUCGUUAAGCCCUUCAUGACCCUCAUCAUUGAGAACCGAAAGAUCUAUAGUCCCCUUCCUUGCCUAAAUGCUGUUCAUAAACUUAAAACCCAACAUUUUAAUGGUGUGCUCAUUGAUAGGAUUGAAUAUGGCAUGGGUAUUGGGUGGAUCACAAUGGGUAUCAAUAGAAAAAUAAUCAAUGAUUUCACUCAUUAACAGACCAUAAAGGAGGUUUUUGAUGCCCCUUUGGAUGGUGUUAAGCAUGUCAUCUAUUUGAAUUUGGUGAGAUCAAUGUGACGGUUGAAUUUGAUAUUAAAGAUGAACCAAAAAUCCUCUUGGGUGACCGUGGAGUUGUUGGAGCCAUGAAGGCGAAUGGUCUGAGUGAUGAUGAAGUGUAAGACACGAUCAAAGAAACAGACCCUCUUGCAACUAGAGUCGCCUCAGUCGUUUGGCGGAGGAUAAACAAAAACAAAAUGGAGGUUAUCUUCAUUAAGAACGUAAUGGAGAUCAUCCUAAUGGAUGUGAAUGUGAAUGAUGUAAUCAAUGAGAGCGUGAGUGACAAAGAUGUGUUUCCCCAUGACGUGAGCGACAAAUCUAUCGUCAUGGAAGACUAGUUCACCAAACUAUGAAUCAAAGAACCUUUGAGUGGCAUUGAAAUAAAAAACCCAAACCAAAUUCUCAUAGUAUUUUUUAUUCAGUUUCAAGUAACGGGGUCUAUUCUAAAUAUUCAAAGUUGGCAAGGUAAAGAAAGCGAAUGGAUUUUAGGUAAUGAAAGUCAAUAAUGCACUCAAGCACUACCUUGUGUUUGGAGAAAUUAUCGUUCAACUUUUGAGCAUGCUAUGGAUGGGUGAAGUUGUGUAGGAAGGAAUUACUAUCAAAGGUGGGGGAUGACUUCGCACCAGUAGAGUCAAUGGAAGCCCGAUGAGCGGUUACCUUGGUUCGUUUGGGCCUUUGGCUCAUGGUGGACAUUGAAGGAAUUUGGAUGAUUUUGGACAAAGGGAUUUGAUGGAAAGAUUAAUAGGUUGAGUAGAGGAAUUUAUUUGGACCAAUAUGUUGCAAAUUACAACAAGAGUUCAAGGAGAGAAAGUGAAUUGAGGGUUUGGAAAAGUCUAACACAAAAUUUGGCAGGAUUUUGGGAUGAAUUUAUGGAAAUUUUGGAAGCAAGAGGCUGAAAAAGAGGGAAAAAACAUUUUAAUCAAAUGAAAAAUAGAGAAAAGUGUAGUACCCCAUACCUUGAUAUGGUGGCUAGCAAUGCUAGUUUUAUGAUAUUUAUAUUUAUUUUAUGUUUUUAUAAGAGUAGGAUAAAAAAUAAUUUCAAUUGGUGAAGAAAGGUGCACAAUGGACUGUUGCUCUAUUUGCAUAUGUUUUGGUUUUUCAAGUAUAUCUCCCACUAAACAAGUCCAAAUGACUUGAUUUUUGGACCAUUAAAAAACUAAGAGGCAGGGUUAUAACUUUGAUUUUUACUACUUUGCCCCGUUCUUGCUAGAAAGUGGUCAAAAUCCUUGUUAAAGUGAAAGUACUAUGCUAGAGAAACAGAAUUUGGCAGAACCUUUGAGCGCUGCGACUCUGGAAAUUGAGAGUCGCGGCCCUCACCGUAAUUUCCACAAAUAACGAGUUUAUGGGAUUUUUGAAGCUAAGGCUUUUGGGGGCUAUUUAAGGGACCUAUUUCAGAAGAUUUUGGACCUUUUCCUAGUGUCAAAAGAGUAAAAAGAUUGCACAAGAAAAUGAGGAAGACAAGUGGCCUUGUUAAGGGCAUUAUUGUAAUUGCAUGAGAAAUUAGAUAAGCUUUAACUAUAAAGAUCUCAUCUUUUCCAGUAGUUUCUAUAUUUCUCUAGCAACUUCUUCUUCUUCCUCCUCCCAUCUCACGUUUCUCUCCUCUUCCAUGAAAGCUUCUCUCAAGCUUCCAUCACUCUCUUAAACUAACCUUAAUUUUCAUGCUUUACACACUCUGUUGUAGGGUUUUCCAUACUCUUUUACUGCUUCACCUUAAACAAACCCUUAAAAGUUUUUCUUCAAUACCUUUUCUCACUAGUUGAACUUUGUAGAGAGAGAAAGAGAGGUUUCAUGUUAACUUGAGGACUUUUGGGAAGAAAUUUCAUUACAAUCACUAAGGUAAGUGAUGAAUUAGGAUUGGUUUUAAGUUGUUGAUGAUGGCUAGUAAUUAGAGUUAUGAGUUGUGCUAUUUGCUGAAAUUGUUUAUCUAUUUCUAGUGUUACUCAACUAGAGAAACGAAAUAGCUAAUCAAAUGGUAAUUAGAAGAUAGAUAGGAAGGGCUAUUGAAGCUUGAUUUGGGAAAUAACUUUUGGAGUGAUAUUAAUCUAAAUUGGAUUGGUUGUGAUGUUUUUGUGCGUGAUAGGUUCCAACAAGGCCCUUCAGCCCCAUUUGGACCAUUAGGGAGGUUAAAGUCGAUUAAAGGUUCAACAAAUAUCGGUAAGUGAACUUGCAUUUCAAAAUGUUUUGAGGAAAUAUUUAUGUGUUUCAAUGAAUCAUUUGGGAAUUUUAUCGAUUUUUGCUUUAAAAUUGCCUAGGAACAAGCCCUUGAUAAAAUUUUAAUGUUGUGAAAUGUGAAAUUUGUAAAAGGAGGAAUCCAUAUAUUUUUGUAUAAUGUUGAUAUAUAUAUAUACUAUGUCAUAAAUGGUACCAUUGUGUGACAAAUGCAACCGUGCAUGUGCAGGGUGAGUGUGUACUUACCGGUGAUGACGAUGGUGAGGGAGAUGGAUGGUGAUAUUGUCCAGCUAUGUGCACGAUGUGGUGGGAUGCACAUGAGUUGGGUGAGAUGGGAUGUCCGGCUAUAUGCACGAUAUGGUGGGAUGCACAUGUUCGGCUAUGUGCACGAUGUGGUAGGAUACACAUGUGGUGGGUGAGAUGCAGAUGAUGAAUCUUGAAAAUUUACCGUUAUUUGCAAAUUGAUUUUAUUGCAACGAGAAACAUUUUGCUUAUAUUGCCUUACUUGGAUAAUUACUGGAAAUUUCCUUUCUUUCCAAUUUCAUGUUGAAUGCGGUUCUUUCAUCAUUAAAUGAUUUUACAACCCAAGGUUUAAUGGAGGGAUUUGAAUAAGAACUUGAACUAAAUGGCAUUGUUUUUAAAUAAAUGCAUCAUGUUUUCUAAACAAUUCCUUGUCAUUGCUUGUUCCCUUCCUAUGUUCACUCACUGAGUUUAUACUCACGUUUUUAAACUUCUUGUUUUAGGUUCUCUAAGUUAAAGGUGACUGGAUCCUAGGACAAGGUGCUCCUCCCUAUCCAUUGCUCGGUAGGUUUGUCAUGAUACUAAUGUUAGCAUCCCCGCCCACAGUCACUCCGCUGACGAUCAGAGUCUUUGAAUGUGUACAUGUAAACUGAAUGUAACUUGCUAGGAAUCGUUUGGCAAACUAUUUAUGUAUAUUCCGAUUAAUGAAUACCAUUAUGAGUAUAUACCUGGAUUUUAUGAAUUGAUUUCAAUGAAGUUAUUAUUUGAACAUUAUGAUUUAUAGAUCUUAAAAAGGGAGUUUGGAUGAUACAUGGACUAAUGUACAGAUUCAUACAAGAAGGCUUGCUAAGGCCUAGUGGGCUAUGCCUAUUGGGUCCUUGCACUUGUCAUGGCCAUAAAAUUAGGCUGUGACACAAAGUGAGGUUGAGUUAAGAAGAUUUGGGAAAGAAAGGGAAUGAAGAGUCAUUGGUCUAAGAGAUAUGAAGCAGCAGAGAUGUUUAAAAGAGGGCAUCUAUCAAUAAAUUGUGACAUCUAUCAAUAGAUCACAUGCAAUUACUUCGCCCCAGGUGGUCAUCUAUUGAUAGAUCAUGGUAUCUAUCGAUAGAUUUUUUUGAGCAGCUUUUAUUUUUGGCUACAAGUCCUCAUCUAUUAAUAGAUAGUGUGAUCUAUCGAUAGAUAUAGUCAAGCAAACUUAAGGAAGGCCACGGGACCGCAUCUAUCGAUAAAUGGUGGAAUCUAUCGAUAUAUGACACAUAUUUUUUUGGGAGCUUACGUUUAUCAAUAGAUAUUAUGAAUCUAUUGAUAAAUUGUAUGCGAGACAGUAACUAUUGUCUUGACAAGCUAUCUAUUGAUAGUUAAUAUCAAUCUAUCGAUAGAUGUUCAUCUAGGGCCUUGAAAAAAUAGAGUUAUUUUCUCAAAAUCAUGCAAGAAGGUUCAGAAUUGAAUUUUGGAUCAAAAAUAAGUUCAAAAAUGUGAAAAAAUCUUGUAAAAGCACAUUUUGUACCAAUAGAAGAGACAUUUUUAGUGUCAAAGGUUUGGAUUUUUCAAAGAAAAUGAUUUCUUCAAUAAUUAUGUGAGGUGCUGCUAGAGUUGGAUGGUUGUCUAUGUGUAUGAAAGAUUGAGUCAAGUGCAAGAACAUAUAUCUUAUAGUGAAGUCAAUAAUGUGGCAUAACUGACAUCUUUAUCAUCACAAAGUCAAGAAAAUUCUAAAUAAACAAGUGGACUCCAUUAAUUCAAAUUGUUCACUUCAACGUUCACCAAGAGCAUCUAAUUUUCAUUAUCUAUAUCAUCAAAGGUGCAUUCAUGACACCUAAUUCACUUCUUAUUUUGCAAACUUGUUCUCUAUCAAGAGGUUUAGUGAACAUAUUAGCUGAUUGGUCUUUGGUGCCAACAUACUCAAGAACAAUGUCUUCUUUUUGAACAUGGUCUUUAAUGAAAUGAUGCCUUAUUUAUAUGUGUUUAGUUCUAGAAUGAUGGAUGGGGUUCUUUGUGAGAUUUAUGGCACUAAUAUUAUCACAUUUAAUUGGAAUUCUUUUCAUACAUAGUUCAUAGUUUUCUAAUUGUUGCUUCAUCCAUAGCACUUGAUCACAACAACUUUCGACAGCCAUAUACUCAGCUUUGGUAGUGGAUUGAGCUACACUAUUUUGUUUCUUUGAAAACUAAGAGAUCAACAUACUACCUAAAAAUUGGCAUAUGUUAGCUUCAUAGCUUUCAAAUCAAUCCUAGGUUUUCAAAUGACAACAAGAAAAUGAUCAAAAUUCAUUUAAGUCUUGGAAUAUCAAGUCUAGACAUCCUGCAACACAUUCAAAUGAGUUUGAGAAGAAAAACAAUGAAAAGGACUUUGAAAUAUGCAUUCUAGUCCAUAUCUAUCGAUACAUGUUCUUUAUGUAUUGAUACAUUUGGACAAGUAUUAAUAGAUUUUGAAAUCUAUCGACACAUGUUCUUAAGAAAAGACAAAUUUCAAAAAGUCAAACUCAAUAUAUCAAUACAUUGUCAAAUGUAUUGGUAGAAAUGCAACAAAAUACUGAAUGCCUCAAAAGUAUCAAUACAUUUUCAAUAGAAUGCUCACUGUUUCAAACGUAUCGAUACAUUAGCAAAUGUAUUGAUACAUUUCAAAUAGAAUGUUUAAUUGUUGUAGGUAAGUUCAAAUAUAUCGAUACAUGCACAAAUGUAUCGAUACAUUACAGCAAGAAUUAAAAAAUAAAAAAGGUAAUGCAUCUAUACAUCCUCAUAUGUAUUAAUACAAUGUGACCGUUAGAGCCUUGAAUGAAGAGAAUAAUUAUUAUUUUCAUAUUAAAUGCACUCCCAACUACCUUUGAAGCUUCAACAAUUAUAAGUGCAAGGUUCCUCAGCAUUUAUGAAAGUUGGAAGACUUUGAAACACAACUUAAUAGAGAAGAAUUUGGAAAAAAUCAUUCAAGACCCUUUGUACUUUUCUUUUAACCUUUAAGUCUUUUAGUGUAACAUUUAUUAAGCCUUCAUUCCUUCACCAAACACUAUACCUAAUAUGUUAUUUAGCCUCUAAGAGGCAUACCGACCGCAUUGACACUCUUCUCAUUGCACUUACUUUAGUGGUUAUACCUCAACCAACAUAAAAGGCAUAGUGAUUGUGCUUUAACCAUAAAAAGGCAUUGUAUUGCACUUCGAUUCAAUAGUGGAUUUUAAACUCUUUAGUGAAUCUAAAGGAGAGGACGUAAGCAAAUAAGUGACACCUUUAUAAAAAUUCAUGUUGAUUUUUCUCUUUUCUUACUCCUCUAAUUUCAUUUGCAUUCUCAAUCUUCUUCAUUUAUCAAUUAGUUAACUCUCUUGCUCAUUUUCAAAUUGAGGAUUUGAAAUUAAAAAUGACUAUGUUUUCUCAAAAAUUGAAAAAGAAUCCUCCAAAUUUCAAAACAUUCCAAUUCACCCCUUACUUGGAAUUAUUCACAUUGAGCUUAUUACAUUAACGAUUGGUAUCAGAGCUAGGGCUCAAUCUUGUAGGUCUAAUAACCUUGAAUGAUCUAGAAGCGAAGCUCAACACAUCAAGAUGGAAUCCACCUCAGUAGUUCUUGGUGAAGGCACUCAACUUACAAACCUUCCUUUCUCUCAAGUACAAAUUAUCCUAAUUGGAAGAAAAGAAUGGAGAUGUUUAUUCAAUUAGAUGAUCUUGAUAUUUGGAAUGUCAUUUUAGAUGGUCCUUAUGUUCCCACCAAGGAAGUAAAUAGAAAAACAAUUGUAAAAACUAGAAAAGAAUGGGAUGACAAAGAAACGAAGUUGAUACAAACAAAUUGCAAGGCUUUUAACACACUUCGUUGUUCUCUAAGCGCUAGUGAAUUCAAAAGAGUAUCCAUGUGUUAGAUAGUUAAACAAAUUUGGGAUACUUUAGAAAUGACUUCUGAAGGAACAAACCAAGUUAAAGAAUUCAAGACAAGACUCCUCACACAUGACUAUGAGCUAUUUAGGGUAAAAGAAACUAGGACCAUAAAUAUGAGAGAUUCACAAACAUAGUUGGAGGAUUGAAGGCCUAAGGAAAAGAUUUCUCAAAUGCUCAAUUAGUUAAAAAGGUACUUUAUAGUCUUCCCAAUUCAUGGAGACCAAAAGUAACAGCCAUAGAGGAAGCAAGAAACUUAAAUGACUUUAAGCUAGAAGAACUUAUAGGAUCUCUACUUACAUAUGAAGUGACAAUAAAACAUGAAAAUGUUAUAAAUGAUGAAAAGAAUGAGGAUAAUAAGAAAAAAAAAGGGUAGCCCUAAAGUCUAAAAUUGAAGAAGAUGAGAGAAACAUAAGAGAUGAGAGUGAAGAAGAUGAAGAUAUAGCCAUGAUAGCCAAGAGGUUUAGUAAAUUUAUGAAAAAGAACUAUAAAGGUAUGAGACCUCCUAAAAGAGACAUGCCAUAAGGGGAACAUAGCAAAGACCCCUUAAAUAUUGUAUGAGUGCAGACAAAUGGGAGACACUAAAUAUGAUUACCUAAAUAAGAAGAGUGCCCCAAAGAACUUCAAGAAGAAAUUUGUGGUUGUCACUUGUAGCAAUAAUGAUGACUCUCAAGAUGAAGAAGAUGAAGUUGCCAACCUUGGCUUCAUGGCACUUAAGGAAUCCAAGGUAUGCUUUACCUCUCAUGACUUUAGUUCAUGAACUUUAGAUCAAGACUCAUACUCAUUUGAUGAAAUACAAGAAGCAUAUGACGACUUAGUAUUUGAAUUUGGACAAAAGACAUCGAAAUACAAGAACAUCAUAUCAAAGCUUAAGGUAUAAAAUGAGUUCUUAAUCAAAACAAAAAUAGAACUAGAAAACAUAAUCAAAGACUUGGAAAUUGAGAGAAAUGAGUUGAAAAAGAAGAAUAAGAAUUUGCAUACUACAUUUUCAAAAUUCAACAUGAGUCAACAAAAAUUAAAUGACAUGUCGAAAACACAAAGAACUUUUUUUCACAAAGAAGAAUAGGCUAUAAUGGUACUCAAAAGGAAACUUGUUUUAAAAGUUUAUUUGUUAAAGAAAAUAAAAACUUAGAUCAUUCACCAAAUGCAUUUAUUGCCAUAAAGUAUGACAUUCUACCUAUUCUUAUAUUUUGAGAACUACCACUUUUAUAGGUAAAAAAAUAAAAAAUGUAUGGGUUCCAAAAGGAAGCAAACCUCCACAUGGUAAGGUGGUAAAAUUAGAGUGGGUUCGAAAAGGAACCAAAGGCACUAACUCAUAUGGACUUAAGAAAAUUUGGGUAUCAACGUCAAAUCUUUGAAUUUUGUCUUUGUAGGAGGUGCUCACUUGCUUAAAGUAAAAAAUGUUAGAAAAAGGAUAAUGGUAUCUUGAUAGUGGAUGCUCUAGACACAUGACCACAACUAAGGAAUUCUUCAAGGAACUAAGACUAAAGAAAUCAGGAAAUGUAACCUUAAGUGGCAACUUAAAAGGUUACAUUGAAGGUAUUGAUACCAUUGGCAAAAAAUUCCUCUUUUCAAAUUGAAAAUGUCCUAUUUGUAAAUGGUCUUAAACAUAAUUUGUUGACUGUGUGUCAACUUUGUGACUGUCAUGACCUAGAACCUCCCUCAGGCCCAUGACAACCGCCGCGACGUUCGGAUUGACACUCAUUAUUCAGAAUGCCAAUCGGAACCUCGCAAGGCUAACGAAUCAGUUUCUUGCCUUUCCUGUGAGCAAUCGUUGUUAAAUAUCGAGUUUUAAGAAAAUAUAAACUAUUUUAGAUCGAAAACAAUCAAAAUAAAAUUUUCGCCACAUAGGGGUAUUUUGGUCAUUUUUUACCAAAAAAUUUCGAAACCUGAUAAAGAUACAACGUAUGGUAGAAAAAUAUCCACUGCCGAUUAAAAAUUUUUUUUUGUAAUCUAAAUCAUUCAUUUAAAGUGAAAAGUUGGCUAAUUAAACUAAAUAAAAAUAUUUGAUAAUAUAUUUCAUUUUCUUAUAAAACAAUUUUUAUAAAACUAUAUAUAAAUAAUUUUUGUAGCGUGAGAAUAAAAUAAAUUCAUACAUACAAUAAUUUACAAAGUUAUAAUGUACCGUAAUAAUUACAAUGACAAGUGGCACAUAAAUACACCCAGUAUUGGUGAUAGUAACCUACUGUCUGUGGGAUAGAGAUGUCAACUGGAAUCCUCAACAAAAUAGGGUAUCUACAAGCUACCACAGGCCUGAAAUGUUUGGAAAGGAGGUGGGUGAGAUUUUGCAAUCCCAAUGAGUAAACAUACAUUAUCAUAAAUAUCUAAAGGCAAGUAAAAUGGAGGCACGUUUAAACAACAAAUCACAAACCAUUUCAUAAGGUUUUCAAUUUAUUUCUUAAACCAUAAAACAUUUGUAAUUUACCAAAACAGUUGUCAAGGCUUAUAACCUUUAUUAAAAACAUGUCUCAAGCCAAAAUCUAGUCCUCGGGGAUACCUUGGCCGAGGCAUCUAACCGAGUCUGCCAAGGUUGUUAAGAUAUUUACAUGUUAAACACAUUAUAGUUUUGAAAACAAGCCAUUCCUUGGCGUUGGCAGAGUUACACAUUCACGUGGGGGUUCGAUGUGAAGUGAGCUCGAACACUACCCCAGGAGUUACCCUCCUCGCCUCUACAACCGGGGUAACUAUGAAACCGAGUUUACCGUGCCCCUCUAAUAGGCAGUCCACGAAAACCCGUCACUGUAGUAACUAAACCCACAGAUUUUAAUAAAAUUUCGACAGUAUAACGUGGCUUUUAUUUAUUUAUCCAGCCUGCAUAGUAAAAGACAGCUUACAUUCUAUUCCCAAUGCAAUUAUAAAAUAUAACCACAUAUACUCAUAUAUCAUAAACCAUUCAUAAGAAAAUAUAUUUUUCAGGACAAUUGGUAGCCUCCAAUUACUCAAUUUCAUAAUCAACACAAUAUAUUUUUAUUUGUCACAUUUAUUUCUAAAACAUCAAAAAUCCCAUUUUAAUCUCAUUUUCGUUUCAUAAAAUACAUAAAGAGCAUUUAAAAUUAAACUCUAGAUAAUUUACAAUAAUAAUAAGUUUACUCACUGUUUGUAAAGAUGAAAUGCUUCCUAGGUGCCCCGAUCACUAUUGGUCGGGUACGACUUCCUUGCCUUUACCGGAAGGUUCUCCUCCUAGACACAUUGUAAAAUUUAUCCAAUUCACCACACUGAUGCUAAAUCACUAUAUAAUUGACUUAAAUCCUAUACUAAUACAUGGUAUGAAAUGCAAUAGCCUAAAACGGCUUAAACGCGGUAUUAACCUAUUUUUGGCACUUUACCCGAUAAAUUGCUAACGCGCUCCAUUUUAGCUCUAAAUCGUCCCAUUCUCUCUCCAACAUUUCUAAACAUUAAAUAUCAUCCAAUAACCUUCUAAAAUCACCAAAAUCAGUUCACUUUCCUGCUUGAAAAAUUCGGCCAAAAAUGGGACAUUAACUCGGUAAAUUUUCUACUUUGUUUUUCUAUCACAUUUAACCAUUUUUCAUCAUUUUCUCUUCAUUUCUCUUAGAAUAAAAAUCAGAUCAUCAUCAUUGUACCUCAUUGCAGAUUCGGCCAAGGGUGGGUAUUGUGAAAAUUUAAUGCUUUCUUGCCCAAUUUAAUUUCUAAACACAUUUAACUAACUAAAACUAUCAAUUUAACUAAAAAUCAAAACCUAAUAAAUUUCAAUUUNNNNNNNNNNNNNNNNNNNNNNNNNNNNNNNNNNNNNNNNNNNNNNNNNNNNNNNNNNNNNNNNNNNNNGAAAGGUAGAAAUCAAGCUAAAGUCGAAAAAUCUUACCGUUAGACGCGUAAACGGGCGAAAAACACAAAUUCCCCUUUGAAUUUUCUUGUUUCUCUUUGGUUUUUCUUUUUUUUCUUCCUUUCCUCUCUAUUUCUCUCUUGUUCUCCCUUAUGGCCGGCCAUCACUUAAAAUGGGGUUUAAAUGGGCUGACUUUUCAUUAAAAUAAUAUUAAAUCAUUAAAAAGUGCCAUGUGUCACUUUCCCAUUAGCCCAUUUUUAAAAAUUUCAUCCAUUUGUUUCCAAAUUUUCACCAUACACUUGUCCCACAUAUCCAUAGCUUAGAUAAAAUUCUCAGACUUAUCCAAAGUCUUGGUGGAGUAAUUUUUGAAAUUUACACUUUUGCCCCCGUAAAAGUGAAAAAUUACAUUUUUGCCCCAAAAACUGAAAAAGUGCCCAUAGACAUAUUUUUCAUCCUUUAUACUCAUACAAUUCUCCAAUUUGUCAAAUUUGAUCUAAAUUCUCUCAAAAUCUCAAAUUUUGUCCGUGGGUGGCAAAAUUACGAUUUUACCCCUACACUCCAAAAAUCACCAAAAUUAAACUUUUUCACUUCCUAUUAUUAAAUUAUACUCCAAAUAGUUAAUCUUGGUCAAAAAUUUCACUCCAUGAUCAAAUUAUUAUCUUAGGUGGCAAAAUGAUAAUUUUUGCCCCUAAACAUCAAAAUUUUCAAUUUUACCCCUAAUGAACCCUCGAACUCCGAACAAUCAUUUUUAGUCAUUCCUGAACUAUAAAAUAUUAAAUUUCAUUCUACAAUUCUUAUUUGAACUAGUUCGAGAUUAAAUCAACUCAAGUGUACCGUUAGGUACAAUACCGAGUUUCGUCUAUUCUUAGGUGCUUUCCUAGCAUAAUAACAUGCUAUUCAGUGCAUGUAUGUCAUCACAUGUGUUUAUAGGGUCGGGUUUUACAGUGACAAAGGUUUUAGAGUCAUAUUUGAAUCAUUAACUUGUCAUGUUGUUGAUGUUAAAAAAAAUUAAACUCUAUUUGUUGGACAUAGACAAGGUACUACAUAUGUUGUUUUCUUGGAUGACUUAUCUUCUAACAAUGUAUGUUUCAGGGCCAAAUGAGGAUAGUUGGCUAUGGCAUAGAAAAGUAGGACAUGCUAGCAUGAAUAGAAUUUCAAAACUACUAUCUUUAGAUCUAGUGAUGAGGGUUCUUAAGCUAAACUUCAAAAACGAUCAACAUUGUGAUGCUUGUGCUAAAGGCAAACAUAGGAGAAGCUCAUUUAAAUCCAAAAAAGAUGUAACCACUAUUAGAGCCUUACAAUUGCUUCACAUAGAUCUUUUUGGACCAACUAGAACCACUAGCUUAGGUGGAAAGAAUUAUGGUUUAGUAAUUGCAGAUGACUACACUAGAUUUUCUUGGGUUUUCUUUCUUGCUUGCAAAGAUGAAGCUUUAAAAAUCUUCACUUCUUUUUACAAAAAAGUUGAAAAUGGGAAAGGGUACAAAAUAAUAAAUGUUAGGAGUUACCAUGGAAAAGAAUUAGAAAACCUAGGUUUUAAAAAACUUUGUGAUGAAAAUGGGUAUAGCCAUAAUUUUUCAGCUCCUAAGACUCCACAAUAAAAUGGAUUAGUGGAAAGAAAAAAUAAAACUCUGAAAGAAAUUGCUAGAACCAUGCUAUGCAAAAAAAAUUUACCUAGAUAUUUUUGGCCUGAAGUUAUUAAUAGCUUUUGUUAUAUCAUAAAUAGAAUAAUGGUUAAGCCAACCUUAAAGAAACUCCCUCUAAACUUUAUAAAGGGAAAAAACCCAAUAUUGUUUACUUUCAUCCAUUUGGUCAUAAAUGCUAUGUAUUAAGCAAUGGAAAGGAUAAGCUUGGUAAAUUUGAUGCUAAAAGUGAUGAAAGAAUCUUUCUAGGAUAUUCUUUGACUUCCAAAGCUUAUAGAGUAUUCAAUAAGAGGGCAUUAGUUGUUGAAGAAUCUAUUAAUGUAUUAUUUGAUGAUUCUAACCUUUUUUCUAGAAAGGAAAAUUGCGAUGAUGAUGAUGAUGAUGUAAGUAUCCUUCAAGAAGAAAUUGAAGGGCUUGAUCUCAAUAUUGAAGGAUCCAAAGUAGAUGAAAAGGCACCAUAAAAAAAAGAGCAAAAAAUUAAACCAAUUAUUGAAGAAGGUGAGCCUAGUUAUCCAAUGGUAAGAAAAGAGGUUGUUGAAAGCAAAACAAUUAGUGAUCCUAAUCAAGGGGUAAGAACUAGAGCUAAAGCUCAAAAUGUUUGUGAACAUGUUGCUUUUAUCUCACAAAUUGAACCUAAGAACAUUGAUCCAUCCUUAGAUGAUGACUAUUGGAUAUUAGCUAUGCAAGAAAAAUUGAAUCAAUUUGAAUGGUGUUAAGUAUGGGAGUUAGUUCUUAGGCCAAAUGAUUAUCUAAUUGCAGUAACUAAAUGGCAUUUUAAAAACAAAAUGGAUGAAAAUGGACAAAUAACUAGAAAAAAAGCUAGGUUGGUUGCUAAAGGACAUUGUCAUGAGGAAGGAAUAAAUUAUGAUAAGACUUAUGCUCCUUUAGCUAGAUUAAAAGCCAUUAAAAUGUUGUUAGCCUUUGCAUGCUAUAUGUACUUCAAGCUAUAUCAAAUGGAUGUCAAGAGUGCCUUCCUUAAUGGACUAAUAAAUGAAGACAUGUAUAUUAAACAACCAUCUGGUUUUGAAAGCCCUUCAUUUCCAAAUCAUGUGUUUAGAUUAAGAAAGGCCUUGUAUAGUUUAAAAUAAGCUCUUAAAGCUUGGUAUGAAACAUUUUCAAAAUUCUUAAUCAAAAAUUAUUUUAAUAAAGGUAAGGUUAAUAAUGUUAGCUUUAAAAUUAUUAUAGUUUUGAUUAUGACAAAAUGAUCAAAUUUGCUUGAACAUUAUUUGAGUAAUCUUUGACAAUUUCUUGAAAGGAUUUAACUCCCAUACAUUUGUUCUUACAUAAACACAAGCUUGACUCUUGAAGUUAUUAAACUAUAUCUAUAAGCUUGUAUGACUUAGGUGUAUGAGAGCUUAUGAUUCCUAUUCAUUAAAGUCUGAUUUAAAGAUUAAAGGAAAAUGUAGAUGCACUCAUUAAGGGGGAGUUUUGAAUAUCUUUUGUAAUGAUGGCAAAAAAAAAAAAGGAGAGAAGGAAAAGUAAGUUAAAUUGAGUGUGAUAGGUUUCCAUUUUUAAUUUAUGUGUAUGAUGCUUAGUUAUGAUUUUAAUGAAUAUUAUGUGCUAGUUAUUAUGGAUAUUCAAUAUAUCUUGCUUAGCUACUGUGGGCAUUAUAUAUUUUGCUUAGCUAUUAUGGACAUGAUAAAUAGUUUAUUACAAAUCUUUAAAGAAAACUAGAUGCAUUGACUAAGGGGGAGCAACUCAUUAUGCAUAAAGAUUUGAAGCAUUCAUAUUGAGCAUAGACAUUGCACUAUUAAUCUAGGAGUGUUUUGUUAUCAUCAAAAAUAAGAGAUAAAGAAUGUUGACUCUAUAUGCUUUUGAUGAUAGGAAAAUAUUCCCAUUCAUUUGUGUCUAAUGCCUUUACUUGAGUGUGUAGGAAAAUUAAUGUAUGAAAUUAAUAAAUCAACCUUUCAAAGUGUAUAUCAAAAGAGAAAAGGAGAUAAAAAUAAUAAGACAUGACUACUUAACAAGGAGGAAGCUCAUUAGUUGAAUAAGGAAGAAUGUUGGUUGGCUAAGAUUCAAAUUAGAGAAAUGGCAAGCUGAAGAGUUUGAGAAAUAGAACCAACUUAGUCAACCAAGUAAGUCGGGUAAGUGCUUUCUGCCAGAAUGUAACUUGAAACAGAACCAACUUAGUUGACCAAGUCAGUCGACUAAGAGCUCCCUGUUUGGAAAUUGAACCAGAGCACUACAAGACAGAUUAACGGCUAGAACUCAUCCUCAAUUGUUUUCAACAGACAUAAAAUUGCCAAAUUGCCAUCUGAGUUACAUCUCUAAGUAUAAAAGGGUCUUCCAACAAUUAGAAACAAGUUCUUGGAAGUUUUGGAAGAGAUUUGAGCAAUUAAGAGUUGAUAAACUAGAAAAUUUACUCUUCACCUCACUGCACUUAAACGUGCAUUCUUUGUACUUGUAUUCUGCACUCAACCUUGUACCAUUCAGAUCAACUUGUGAUCAUAGGUACUUUCUUCUACUUCUUUUAUUGUAUUCUUAAAGUGAGGGAGUCACUAUAAGUGGCUGUUUCAAGCAAGGUUUGUUUGAAUGUGUUAAGGUUCUAACUUAGCCUUGAAAGUUAGUUGUUGGGUUUUGGUAGAUCCCAUGAAGAACCAUUGUUGUAGGUUGUGGUUGAGCCUUUGAAAAACCAUUUUAGGUUUUGGUUGAGCCCGUGAAAAAUCAUUGUGAAAGGUUGUGGUUGAGCCUUUGAAAAACCACUUUGGGUUAUAGUUAAGCCCCGAAAAAACUAGUGUAAAAGGUUUUGGCUGAGCCUUGUAAAAACCAUUAUAAAGCCUGACAAAAGCUUAAGAAUUUCACUAUUUCUUAGUAGAUUGUUUGAAAAAUCCUUAGUUGGAUAAUCAAGGUAGUGGAUGUAGGUCUUGGACUGAACCACUCUAAAUUGUGCUGUCUUGUUUACUCUAUUUUUGUUGUAUUUUCAUUCCUUCAUUUGUCUCGCCUUUGUCUAUACUUAGAAACAGUUUUUGAAAGAGCCAAAUUGUGCUAUUCACCCCCCUCUAACACAAAUUAUUGGGACCAACAAGUGGUAUUAGAGCUAGCUCCCUGUUAUUAAGGCUUAACAACAUUUGUGUCAUGACCUGGUACUCCCCUUAAGCCUGUGACAACCGUCGUGACGUCCCGGUAGACAUUCGUUACCUAGAGUGCCAACCGAAACCCCGUAAGGCUUUAGUACCAUUUUUUUCAUCUCCCCUAUGAGUAAUCAUCGCCAAACCUCAUUUUUAAAGAAUUUUAAGCUUUUUCCCUUUCAAAACCGUAGAAAAAUAAUUUUGGCCUCACAGGGGCGUUUUCGUCAUAUUUCCUUUAAAUUUUUUGAACCCGACUAAAGAUGUAGUAGAUGAGUGGAAAACACAUAUUUCAUGAUUUAAAAUAAUUUUGGGUGUCUAAAACAUUUAUUAAAAAUGAGAUUGUGACUAUUUGAAUAAAAUAAAAAUAUUCUAAUUUCUUGUAAAACAAUAUUUAUAGAGUCAUCGGUAAAUAAUUUUUGUAAUGUAAAAGCUAAAUAAAUUCAUAUGUACUAUAAUACAGAUAAUCGGGAUAUAAAAUUUACUUUACAGUGACUCGUGGGCCCGUAAGGAACAAAAGUGCACAAAGGCAGUAAACCUACAAUUUUUGGAGUAGUAAAGUCGACUAUAAUCCUUGACGAUAUCUGCUAUCCACAAGCUACCUCGGGCCUAAAAUUGUUGAAAAAGAGGGUGGUAAGAUUAUAAAAUCCCAGUGAGUAAACAGAUACCAUCUAGACAAUCUAAAGUCGAGUAAAUAGAGACAGGUAAAACAGUUUAACAUACUGAAAUUCAUCACCUUUCAACUUGUUUCAACCAAAUAAAAUCAAUUCAUAUAAAUCAAGUAAUUAACACUACUUAUGAAUUUCUUAAAACUUUGGCACGUGCCAAAAUCAUUCUCAUACCCAGUUAUCAGGGAUACCUUGAUCAAGGGUGUGAGACCUUGACUUUUAUAGACUCGUAAAGGAAAGUUUACGCGAUAUCCCUAAUCAAGGGUAAUUUCAUUAUUUCCUUAGUAAGCCCAUAAAAGUAAGAUUUUAAACAAUAUUAUGGCCUAAGUAUGCCUAAGGCAUAAAUGGAUGAUGAAAUUAGGGGUAAAAUAAAAAAAAAAUUUUGAUGAUUUUCAAGAUAAGGGCAAAAUGGUCAUUUUUCACAUCGUGUUAAAAUUUUAAGUUUUCAUGAACCCGAGUAUGUCUAGACCAUUAUGGACCUUGUCCCAAUGUCAAAGGAGUAAAAAGAUUUCAUAAAGGGUUGAAGGAGAGUAAGUUAAUUAGUGGAGGGGUAAUUUGGUAAUUUCAAGGGAAUGGAUAAGAUUGGCUAUAAAUAUCUUUCUUUCAGCAGCUUCUUCUCCCAUUUUCCAGCAACUUGUCUUCUUCUUCUUCUUCCAUCUCACGUUGCUUCCAACCUCCAUGGAAGCUUGAUAUGGAGCUUGCAUGAUUUUCUCUCUUUAACUCUAGUUUUCACACUUUUGUGCCCUUAUGACUAGAACCCUUGUAUUCUUCCACUCUCUCUCCUUAAAACCCUUGAAAAAUCUUAUUUUCACUAGUUGGGUGUUCUAGAGAGAGAAAGAGAGAAUUACCCCAUUUGUGUGGAAGCUAUUGGAAGAGAAUUCAACUACAAAGGAAGCCUAGGGUGAAUGAUGCACUAAGCUUGGUUUUUAGCUAUGGAUAAUGGCUAGUAAAUUAGAUUAUGAGCUGUUUUAUUGUUGAGGAUGUUCAUUCAUUUUAUAGUGAUUUAGAUAGUGAACAUAGAUAGCCAUUUAAAGUGGCAAUUGGGGGUUAAAUAAGAGAUAGCUUUUAGGGUUUAUAGUAUGUGAAUUAACAUAAUGGGGAUGUUAAUGUGAUGGUAGGUUUCAAGGAAGCUCCAUCAUCCCAUUUGGACAAUUAAGGGAAUUGGAGUCAUCUAAAGGCUCAACAAUAUACUAGUGAGUGGACUGCCUAUCAAAAAUUAUUUUGAGAAUAUGACUGUUUUGUACAAAGUGUUUGAAUGAUUUUAUACAACUUUUCCCAAAAAUGAAUGCCUUGGGAACAAGCUCUUGAGAAAUGGUUUAUUUUAUGAUAUGUGGUUAUUAUGGAUUUCUAUGCGGCUGCAUUAGGUUGAUAUACAUAUAUGUUUGAAUAUGGUGUUGUGUAAUUAUAUUGACUCGGCUAUGUGCGAGUAGGGAGUGCGCAUAAGCCGAGGAUGACCCGAUUAUGUGUGAGUAGGGAGUGCACAUAACUCGGUGAUGACCUAGCCAUGUGCGAGUAGGGACUGCGCAUGAGCUGGUGAUGAUGAUGAUGGGAUGGUGUGUAUGAUGAUGAUGGGAUGGUAUGCAUAAUGAUGAUGGGUAUAUACGUAUACAUAUAUACAUAUGUAAAUAUGUGUGUUAUAGGAAAUUAAUGGGCAAUGGUAUAUGGUUGUAAUGCAUGUGAAACUUGACAUGUUAAACCUUGGGAAAUUGUUAUGUGUUUCGUGUUGGUUUGGACAUUUCAGCACGAUGGUUUUUCCUUGGAAAAAAGGGCAAAAUUUUGCAUUGGUGCCUUGUUUCUCACUACAGUGAAAAUCAUUCUCACUGAAGCGAAAAACUCUCGGGUUUUGGAGGGGUAGGCUGGUUGAAAACUCGCUACAGCGAGGAUACAUAUCGCUGCAGCGAGAAUGACACUGUAGCUUCUCACUGCAACAAAAUUCAUUCUCGCUGCAACGAGAAACUUUUUGUUUCUGGGUUAAAAUUUCGCUGCAGCUAGAAACUUUUUGUUUCUGGGUUACAAUUUUGCUGCAGUGAGAUUGAAUCUCGUUGCAGCAAAAAACUUUCUGUUUUGGUCUCCUAUCUUGUCCAAUUGCUGCCCUAUUUUUCACUUCUUUGCUACCAUAUCUAAGCUUGGACUUCCAACAUUAAGGAUUAAAUGAGUUAAAUUUAAAAUAAGGAGGUUUAGUGAGAAACCCUCAGCCAGUUAAGAAACCCUCGUUCGGCUAAUAACUUAAUCCCAACGUCGCAGUAGCGGAAAGGCAUUCACGCUGUAGCGAAGAUUCGUUGUCAUAUUUGACUUGCUUGCUUAUCAUUGAAGUUUUCAUUCUUCAAAUAGUUUGUUAUGUAUGGGUUCAUGAUCUUCAAAUGAUUAAUCAUUUAAGGGCUUGAUGAGGGGUUUUUAAUAUGAAUGGAACCAAAUUGCAUUGUUUUGAAACAAGUGCAUCAUGAUUUUUAAUUCUCCCUUGUUGUUGCUUGUUCCCUUCCUUGUUCACUCACUGGGUUUAUACUCACCGUUUUCAACUUCAUGUUUUCAAAUCAUGAGGCAGCCGGUAACUAGGACGAGGUGUCCUCGUAGACUUGUAUCCAUCUUUUGUUAGGUGUCUCGGCAUUCAGUAGCUGUACAUUCGUUCGAGUCCCUCCGUUGGAAGUCGAGUAUUCUUUUGUUGUGUAUAGACAAACUUAAUGUAAAUUAUUAAGAUGCAUGUUGUAGAUAAUGUAUACACACUUGUUUUGUAUGCCAAUAUGAGGUGGCAAUGUUUAAUAUUAUUUUGAUUCUAAGUUAUGAAAUAUGACUUAGCAGUUUAUGAUGGAAUGAUGAACAUGUCAGAUUAAUAGGCUUGCUUGGGCUUAGUGGACUAUGUCCAUUGGGCCCAUGUGCCGGUCAUGGCCCAAAAUUUGGGUCAUGACAGAGGGCUAUCCCAAUCGAGUCCACCAAGGCUGUUAAAAAGUCAUGUACGCAUAAAUUAUGUUUUUAUUUUGAAAACAUAGCCGUUCAUUGGCGUUGGCUGAGUUCCCCCUCACGUGUUGGUUUGACGUGAAGUGAACUCUAAAAGUGUUAACCUCAGCAGUUAUCCACCCUUGCCUCUCAUACUGAGGUAAGAAUAUAAUGGGGUUACCGUGCCCCUCUAAUAGGCUGGUCCACGGAACCCGUUCACUGCAGUAAGCUAAUAAUUUGUGAGACCCUGUCAGGCUCGAUUAAAAGACGGUAUUGUACCGAGUGGUACAACUAAGUUAAAUCGAGCCUUGAACUAGUUAAAAUAGAAAUUCUAAGAGGAAUUUGAAAAUUUUAAAACCAACAGAAUGGCUUAGAAUAGUGAUUUGGAGUUCAAGGUCCAGUUUGGAGUCCAUCAGAAAAUUGACCAAUUAGGGACAAAACGGUCAUUUUACCAUUUGAUGAUAAAAUGGAGACUUUUAGCCAAGAUUUGAUCACAUUUGACCAAGAAUAAUUAUAUGAAAUAUAAUUAUGAUUAUUGGAGUAUAAAAUGAUGUUUAGCAGUGAAAAAAUGUGAUUCCCUGUAUUUAUGGAGCACAAGGGCAAAAUGGUAAUUUUGCCACUAGAGGACUAAAAGAAAAUUUUUUUAAACAAUUUUUGCCCCAUUUGAUUAAUAUUGAUCAAUAUUAGUGUUAUUUUAGGUUGAAAAGUAGAAAUAAUGAGAUUCCGGUACAUUUCGGAGUAUAAGGGUAAAAUCGUAAUUUUUUCAUCCCGGGGGCAAAUCAGUAAAAGUUUCGCCCCAACACUUGUCAAGACCAAGGGAUUUUAAUUGUGGUAGGAUUGGAUAAAUACCAGAAUAUUUGUGGUGGAAAAUUAAGAAGAAAAAGUCAAAAAGUUAAAAAUUUGGCCAAUAAGCAUGUGACACAUGGCAUGCUUGAUUAUUUUAUUAUUUUCUAUAGAAAUCAGCCCAUUAAAUCCCCAAUUCCCUCACCAUAUUCGGCCUAGACAUCCAGCAACAAGAAAAAAGGAAGAACAAAAGGAAAAACAAGAAAACCUAGGUGGAAAUUCAAAGAAAAAGUGAAGAAAUCAAGGAAACAAGCUAGGUAAGUUAAAAUUUCUUUAAUUCUCCUUGAUACCUAGCUUACCCAUGCUUUUGUUCUUGAUUUCCAUGGUUGAAUAUUGAGUUAUCAUGAUGAAUUCAAUUCUGAAAAAUGGGUAUGGAAGAGGAAUUGUUGUUGGAAUAAUUUGAUUUUAGACUAUGUUAGUGUUUAGGGAUAGUUAAGCAUGGUUAUGAACAAAAACACAAAAGAAAUAUUCAAUUUCUCUAGGGUUCCUUGUUGGCCGAACCAUGAGGGCUGAAUAUCAAUGGGGGAUUGUUUUUAUUUCAAGGAAAAUGGCAUGGAAAAUGAUGAAGUAAGGUGAAACGGUUAUGUAGAAAAAAAUUCGAUGCUAGUACACCAAAUGACCAAAUUUUUUCUAUAAGGAAUUGUGAGGGUUCUAAUGCUGAAUUUGGCUUUAUUUAAAUGUAUGUGGUAAAUUAAGGUAUUAGAGGAGAAAUGAAUUAAUUUGGAGGUGAUUUGGACACAAUCGCCGAUUAAUCGGGUGAUCGGUCGAAUUUAAUCGAUACCGUGAUUAAGCGGUAAUCGGACAUAUUUUUGCAUUUACAUAUCAAGCAUUAGUAGUUUAAAUUAAUUUAUAUCAAUUUAGGGACAAUAUAGUAAAUUCCUCGACUUUGUUAUUUGUCAAGGUGGUGAGACGUCCGGAAAAGGCAAAGGAAUUACGCUUGAGGACUAUUAGUCAGAGUUCACCCGGAAUCCGAAUUUUCGACACCUGUGAGUGGACUGCCUAUCAAAAUUGUUUUGGGAAUAUGACUGUUUUGAACAAAGUGUUUGAAUGAUUUUAUGCAAUUUUUCAUGAAAAUGAAUGCCUUGGGAACAAGCUUUUGAGAAAAGGUUUAUGUUAUGAAAUGUGGUUAUUAUGGAUUUCUAUGUGGCUGCAUUAUGUUGAUAUACAUAUAUGCUUGAAUAUAAUGUUGUGUAAUUAUGUUGACUCGGCUAUGUGCGAGUAGGGAGUGCGCAUAAGCCGAGGAUGACCCGGUUAUGUGCGAGUAGGGAGUGCGCAUAACCCGGUGAUGACCCAGCCAUGUGCGAGUAGGGAGUGCGCAUGAGCUGGUGAUGAUGAUGAUGAGCCGGUGAUGAUGAUGAUGGGUUGGUGAGAUGAUGAUGAUGGGUAUAUACGUAUAUAUAUAUAUACAUAUGUAAAUAUGUGUGAUAUAGCAAAUUGAUGGACAAUGAUUUAUGGUUGUAAUGUACAUGAAAGUUGACACAUUGUACUUUGAGAAUUUUCAUGAAUUUUAGGUUGAUUUUAUUAGUUUAGUAGGAUGGCUUUUUGUUGAGUGAGGAAAAAUGUUUCUCUUGUUGCUCUGUUUUCACUGCAGCGAAAUUCAUGCUCGCUGUAGCAAAAACCUCUAGGGUUUGGAGGGGUUUUAAAUAGGAAUGAACUAAAUUACAUUGUUUUGAAACAAGUGCUUCAUGAUUUUAAAUUCUCCCUAAUUGUUGCUUGUUCCCUUCCUUGUUCACUCACUGAGUAUUGUACUCACGUUUUAUAGAAAUUCAUGUUUUCAGAUCAGGUGACUGUUGGACCCUAGAUCGAGGAGUCCCCGUAGUGCAUCUCCUAGGUAUGUGUCUAGCAUUCGAUAGUAAUCCCUUUUAUUGUAAAUGUCUCUGCUGGAAGUCAUGAGUCCUUUUGUAUUAUGAAUACAAUCUAACAAUGUGAAUAUGUGUAUGCAAUGUAAAUUGCUAAAUACAUGACUGGUAUAGUGCAUGUAUAUUAUUAUCGAUAAUGCCCUUAUGUGUUGGCUAUGUUCACACCCGAAAAAAAGUGUGUGUGUAAGCAUGAUAUGAUAAAUUUGUUAAGCAAAGGUAAAUGGAUAGGCUUGCUUGGGCUUAGUGAGCUAUGCUCAUUGAGCUCAUGCGCUGGUCAUGGCCCGGGAAAUUGGGUCGUGACAUAAUUAUUCCACCAAUCAAUGAAAUUUAACAGAAUGACAUGGCAAUUAUUGUAAUUCACAGCCUUUCAAGGCUAAAUACACAGUUCAUAUAUAUUUCAACACAAAUACCAAUUCAGCCAUUCAUACAAAUAUUGUCAUAAGUCAUUCGAUUCAAACCAUGACAACACAUGAAAACAGUCUCCAAUUACUCUAUUUUCAAACCAUCAUUCAAUUUUAAAACAAUUUUAUGAAAUCAUUUCAUUAAAUCACAUUUUGCUUAUAAAAUCGAAAAAUUAAUCAUUUAACUCAUUUUUCAUAAAAUUCACAAAAUCGGAUAAAAACCACUUUAGAUAAGUAAGAUGAUAGUAAGGUUACUCACAGUAUUAGGAGUUCGAUAUACUCCUUUUCUUGGUCUUCGGGCACAACUCUUUAACCUUAUUAAAGGGCUCACCACCUAUACAUCAUACGUGACACAAAUUUCAAUAAAUUGAGUCAAUUUAUCAUAAACUAUUUCAAGCUCUAUAAAUCUAUAUGAAUGCACGAAAUGUGAUGCAAAAUGUUUAAAUAGCUGUUUAAAUACGGUAUUCGACCUAAUUUGCACUAUUCUCGGUGUCAUUGGCUAAAACCUCCAAUUUAACUCCAAAUCAAUUUCUUUCACUUUUUACACUCCAAUUAUACUUAAAAUACCUUAAUGACUGUCAAUAUGAUUCAAUUUAUCAGUCUGGACCAUAAAUUGCACAUGUCUAUGCAUUAGGUAAAAAUUUAGAUUUUCAUGCCAAAAUUUCCCAUUAAAUUUCUAGCCUCACCAAUCAUUAAAUACCGCCAAAAUAUCAUGAAAUAUCAUCAAUUUCAGCCUCAAUAUCCUCCCUAGAAAAUUCGGCCUCUUGUGGGUUUGUGAAGAACAAAGUGAUUCCUUGCUAGAUUUUCAUACUUUCCAUUACCAAACAACCAAAAGCACUUAAUUAGCUUGAAAUCUAGCAAAAUCAAUGCUUAAAACCUCUCCUCUCAAAUUCGGCUAGCAUGGGUUCAUCAUGCAAACUUGAGUUCUAAGCAUGGAAAUGAAAAAGAAAGCAUGGGUAGUGUAAAUCACAAGAUAAAAUCACAAAAUUUUACCUUUAUUAGCUUAAUCCCUUGAAAUCCCACACUUUUUCUUCAAUUUUCCCACCUAAGGUUUGUGUUCUUUCCUUUCCUCUUCACUUCAUGCUUUGGCUAGCCAUAUGGGUGAGACUAAGAGAGUUUUAAGUAGAUUUUACAAGGAAAUUCUAGAAGAAUCCAAGCUUGACACAUGGCAUGUUUCCAUUAGUCCAUAUGUAAUACUUAUCCAUUAAGCAAUCUCCCUCCACCACAUAAAAUGUUUCAAUUAUCCACAAUGUAAAAUUUUAAUAGCUGAAAUCCAUGGGCAUGACAAGUGUUAGGUGGUGUAAAAUUCCAAAAUUCCAACUUUACACUUGUGAACUUGUAAAAUUACCGUUUUGCCCCUCGGACUCCAAAAAUGUCAGAAUUUAAAAUUUUCACCUCUCAAACUCAAAUCAUACUCCAAUGAGUCAAAUGUGAUCAAAAUCUUUUCUAAAAAUUCCCAUUUUGUCCUUUGGUGACAAAAUUACCAUUUUACCCCUAGAACAUGAAAAUUCCAAAUUGACUCCAAUUCAGCUCUUGAACUCCAAAUCAUCAUUUUAAGUCAUUCUGGGGUUUUAAAAUUCUCAAUUUCAUCUUAAGAUCUCUAUUUAGACUAGUUCGAGGCUUAAUUCAACUUAAUAGUACCAUUUGGUACAAUAUCGACUUUUGAUGAUUUUUCGGGGCUUUCAAAGUAUGUAAGCAUAUUGUCAAUCACAUGAAGGACAUGGCAAGUACUUUAUAAGGUCGGGCUUGACACUUUGGGAGGAUCCAAAUGGCUUAACUAAAAUCAAUAGUUGCUGAAGGACAAUCAACAAACAGACCACCUCUGUUUGAUGGCUCAAAUUACUCAUAUUGGAGUGCUAGUGUGAGACCUUGACCUCUAUAGGCUCGUACCUAGGCAUAGACGCAAUAACACGAGCUGCGGAUAAUUUCGUCGUUUCCUUAGUAAGCCCCUAAAAGUAAGAUUUUAAACAAUAUUAUGGCCUAAGUAGGCCUAAGGCAUAAAUGGAUGAUUAAAUAAGGGUAAAUUAAUGAUGAUUUCCAUGGUAGGGGCAAAAUGGUCAUUUUUCACCUCGGAUCAAAAUUUUUAAGUUUUGUGAACCCGACCAUUUCUAAACCAUUAUGGACUUGUUUUAGUAUUAAAAUAGUAGAAAGAUUGCAUAAAGGGUUGAAGGAGAACAAGUUAACUUGUGAGGGCAUUUUGGUAAUUUAAGUGGAGUGGAUAAGCUUGGGCUAUAAAUGUCUCUUUCUUCCAGCAGUUUCUUCUUCUUCUUCCUUUUCUUUCACGUUGCUUCCAACCUCCAUGGAAGCUUGAUAUGAACCUCCAUAACCUCCCUUAAAAUAGCUCCACUUUUCAUGCUUUUAGUGCACCCUUUCAUAAACCCUUGUGCUCUUCCACUCUCUCUCUUUAAAACCCUUGGAAAACCCUAUUUCCAUACUUUCUCUCACUAGCUAGGUGUUUAGAGAGAGAAAGAGAGAACUCCCAUAAUAGCUUGGAAAAUUUUUGGAAAGAAUUUCAAAGUUACAAAGCUAUCAAGAUGACUAGUAAAUUGGAGUUGAGCUUAAAGUGUUGAGAAUAUCUAGUAAUUAGAUUUGUGAGAGUUUAUUUGUUGGGAUUGUUAUUCAUUUAAAUGUGAUUAGAGUAUUGCAAACAAUAGCCAUUUAAUGGUAGUUGAAAACUAGUUAAGAAUGACUAGUAGAACCCAAUUUAGAAAAUAGUUUUGGAAUAGUAUUAAUGCCAAGUUGUGGUAAUGGUGAUGUUGUUGUGCAUGAUAGGUCCCAACGAAGUCCCAUAGCCUCAAUUGGACCAUUAGAGGAGUUAGAGUCACCUAAAGGCUCAACAAAAUACCGGUGAGUGAACUUGCAAUUCAAAAUUUGUUUUGGGAAUGUGAAUGUUUUUGCACAAAGCAUUCGAAUGAUUUUAUACAACUUUUCUAAAAACGAGUGCCUUGGGAACAAGCCCUUGAUAAAUUGUCUCUAUGUUGUGACAUGUGGCUAUUGAGGAUUCAUGCACUACUACAUUUUGUUGAUAUAUAUAUAUAUGUACGACUAUGUGUUAUGUUAUGAUAUUGACCCGACUAUGUGCGAGUGGGAGUGCACAUAAGCCGAUGCUGACCCCGCUAUGUGCGAGUGGGAGUGCGUAUAAGCCGAUGCUGACCCAGCUAUGUGGGAGUAGGGAGUACGCAUAAGCCGAUGCUGACCCAGCUAUGUGCGAGUAGGGAGUGCACAUGAGCUGAUGAUGAUGAGGUGGUGUGCAUGGUGAUGGAUAUAUAUGUAUAUAUAUAUAGACAUGUGUAUUAUAAAAAGGUUAGGAGUAUGGUAUAUGGUUUUGCACAUGUGAAUCUUGCAUGUUGAACUUUGGGAAUUUUAUGCGUUUCAUGUUGAUUCUUGUCAUUUUAGCAAGAUCGGUUUUUUUCUUGAAAGAAAGAAAACUUUUUCUUGCUGCUCUAUUUCUCGCUGCAGCGAGAAUCUCUUGGGUUUGGAAGGGUAAUGCUUGCUAGAAUCUCGCUGUAGCGAGAAAGUUACUGUAGCAUUUCGCUGCAACGAGGACCCAUCGUUUACUUGACUUAAUUUGCAUAAAGGCUAUUAAGGUUUUCACUCUUCAAAUCAUUUGUUGAGCAUGGACCUUUUUAUCAAGUCAUUUACUACUUUGGGGUUUACAUGAGGGGUUUUGAUAAGAGCUAAACUAAUUGCAUUGUUUUAAAGAUAAAUGCAUCAUGAUUGUAAUACCCUGUGCUUGAUGUGGCUACUAAUAAAGCUUAUUGGAUGCCAAUUGAGAUUAAUUAUAAUGUUUAAAAGUGGUGAAAGAUGAAAGGAAUAGUUAGGAUAAAAUAUUCCGCACAUGAGGAAAUAAUAAUAAAAUAAUAAUAUUUUAUCAAAGAAGAAUUUACGAGAUAAAAAGUGAUUCGGAAGUGAAUUGAGGCAUAAUAAGGUAUUUUGGGUACCAAGGAGACAAAAAGAGACAAAAGAAAAUUUUUGGAAUAAAAUAUUAUUUUAUUAAUAAAAUAAUAUUAAAAUCUUAAUAUUUUAUUCAGUGUCAGAAUUUUUCAUAAAGGAGGAGUAUAUGGUCAAUCUAAGUGGGGGAAAGGAAGAAGGAGAAAAUUUUGGAGAAAAAAUGACGUUAAUUGGGCCGCGUGUCUUUAUUAUGUAAAGAUAGUGCGGCUAAAUAAAUAUUUUAAAUAUUACGGAGACACCGCGUUGGAGUACAAACUUCAUACUUUGUUUGUGCAUGUGUAGAAGAAGAUAAUAGAAGGAUGUUGGAGUUAAAUGAGUGUUGGGAGGACUAAAUCAAAAUGGAAAGAAAUAAAAAGGGCAAAACGGUAAUUUUAGUGAAGUUUGAUCGAAGCUUCCAAAGGAAGCUUUGACUCUGAUUUUUUUUCAGCCCAAAACCAUUCUUAUCUCCUCCAGCAAGAUUUUUUUUCCUCUUCUCCUCCAUGCUCCACGCCAUUCGUGAAGCUUCCAUGCCAUUUUCUCUUUAUCCACCAUGAAAUCAAGUUUUCUUCACUUUCCUUUCUAUGUUUUCUUUUCCUUUCUUCUCCAAACUUCUUGAGCACUAAAUUUACAGCCUUUAACCCCAAUUUCCAGCACAUCUAAACCCUAGGAGAAGAAGAAAGAAAAAGAGAGAAAGGAAGAAAAAGCUUAGUUUUGGUGAUUCAAGCAAGGAACGGUAAGAAUUCUUGUUUUUGGCUUGAGUAGUCUUUGAAAAUAAGUUAGUGACUUAGAGAAAUGUCUUGUGGCAGCAAAGAUUGGCUUGAUUGGAGAAAAAUUGGUAACAUGUAAGCCAAUAAGCCCAUGGGUAUAUGAAGGACUCAAAGUGGAAAAGGAAAACGGUAAGCUUAACGCUCUGUUUUAAAGCCUACGGUUAGUUGAAUAUUGUGAGGAAUUAUGGUUCUUGAAAGGAUUUAUUUGCCGAAGCUAGUUGAAUAUUGUUAAGAUUGUAUGUCAUGUUAUUUGAAAGAAAUAAAAAAAAAAGAAUAUUGUGGAUGAAGGAUUGAGAAAUAGAGUAUUGAAAGUUAGAUAGAUAAGGAUGUGUGUAAACUAGGAAAUAAUCGAGUGAAAGUGAGAAUAAUUGUUCCUGCAAUAUAUGUGGAUUAUGUGUGGAAAUAUAAGAUGGAUUUGGGCGAAAAUUAUUUAGAAAGGUUGAAGUAGGCACGUGACAUCAUAAAUAAGUUGUCGGUGAUAUAAUCUAAGGAAUUUCGUAAGCAAUUGAUGUAAGUAAUUUUGGUAAAAAUGUAUUAAGAUGUGAGUUAAUUGAAGAUGGUUUCAUGAUAGGAUGAAAAAUAUAAAUUUGAGUAAGGAUUAAUUGAUUGAAGUGUUGCCCGUAUAUGCAUAUAAUUAAAUAUAUUGAGUUCGUAUUAUUGUUAGGAAGUGCCAAGAUAAGGAUAAAGUACUGUGCUGGCAUGCCAGAGUAGACAUCUAGAAACCGACCAGUGAAAAUAGUUAGAGAUACCUCCGAACAAAUAGCGACUUAAUAUCUCGUUGUUGCCAGGUGAGUCAACUUGCAUUUCAAAAUCGUUUUGGGAGACAUAAUUGUAUUGGUAUGAAACAUUGAAUGAUUUAUUCCAACUUGUCUUUAAAAAACGUGUGCCUUGGGAACAAGCCUUUGAUAAAAUAUUUUGAUGUUGUGAAAAUGUGAAAUGUGUAAUAAGACGAACUUAUGUGCUCCUAUACUGUGUUGAUAUAUAUAUAUGUGUGUAUACGAAUAAUGUUGUGUAAUGAUAUUGACCCGACUAUGUGUGAGUAGAAGUGUGCAUAAGCUGAUGCUGACCAGGCUAUGUGAGAGGGGGAGUGCGCAUAAGCCGAUGCUGACCCGGCUAUGUGUGAGGGGGAGUGUGCAUAAGCCGAUGCUGACCUAGUUAUGUGUUAGUAGGAGUGCACAUAAGUUGAUGCUGACCCAGCCAUGUGCUAGUGGGAGUGCAUAUGAGCUGCUGAUGAUGGGAGGGUGUGUAUGGUGAUGGAUAUAUAUAUAUAUAUAUAUAUAUACAUAGAUAGAUAUGUGUGUUAUAGAAAGUUCAUGAGUAUGGUAUAUAAUGUUGCACAUGUGAAUCUUGCAUGUUGAACUUUGGAAAUUAUUAUGCGUUUCAUGUUGGUUUUUUGUCGUUUUAGCAAGAUGGCUUUUCUUGAAAGAAAGGAAACUUUUUCAUGGUGCUUUGUUUCUCGCUGCUGUGAGAUUCAUUCUCACUAUAGCGAGAAACUCUCAAAUUUGGAAGGGUAAUACUGGUUCGGAAUCUCGCUGCAGCGAGGACCCGUCGUUUACUUGACUUGAAUUGCACGAAUGCUAUUAAAGUUUUCACUCUUCAAAUCCUUUGUUGAGCAUGGACCCUUUUUAUCAAGUGAUUUACUCAUUUGGGGUUUACAUGAGGGGUUUUGAUAAGAGCUAAACUAAAUUGCAUUGUUUUAAAGAUAAAUGCAUCAUGAUUUUCUUUAAACCUUCCUUAUUGUUUGCUCUUUCCUUUCUAUGUUCACUCAUUGAGUUUGUACUCACGUUUUUUUUUUAAAUUCAUGUUUUAGGUUUUCUGAGUUAAAGAUGAUUGGAUCCUAGGAUGAGGUGUUCCUCCAUAUACAUUGCUCGGUUGGUUUAACGUACCACUAAGUGUUAUCAAUAAUGCCCAGAGUCACUCCGCUGACGGUCGAGGUCUAAUUAUGUGUAUAUGGAUAUUUGAUGUGAGACAUUAAGGUUCAUUUGUUAUUCUAUAUAUGUAUAUAAUGGUUGAUGAUGCCAUUAUGAAUGCAUGACUGGGUUUUAUGAAUUGUUUUCAAAGGAAUUGUAAUUAAGUAUUACAAAUUUUGGAUUCUAAAGGAAUAUGGAUUAAUGUAUAAGAUCAUGUAAGUAGGCUUGCUUGGGCUUGGUGGGCUAAGCCUAUUGGGCCUUUGCACCCGUCAUGGCUCGAAAAUUGGGCUGUGACAAUGAUUUCUUUAAAUUUUCCUUGUUGUUGCUUGUUCCCAUCCUUAUUCACUCACUGGGUUUAUACUCACCGUUUUCAACUUCAUGUUUUCAGAUCAAGAGGCAGCUAGUAACUAGGUCGAGGUGUCUUCGUAUACUAGACCCUUGGUAAGUGUCUCGGCAUUCAGUAGCUGUACAUUCGUCUGAGUUUCUCUGCUAGAAGUCGAGUAUUGUUUUGUUGUGUAUUGACAAAUCGAUGUAAAUUAUUAAAUUAUAUGUUUAGACAAUAAAUGUACACUUUGAUUGGUAUGCCACUAUGAGUUGGCAAUGCUUAGUAUUAUUUUGAUUCAAAGUUAUGAAAUUUGACUUAGCAACUUUGAUGGAACAAUGAACAGGUCACAUAGAUAGGCCUUCUUGAGCUUAGUGGGCUAUGUCCAUUGAGCCCAUGCACCGGUCAUGGCCCGAAAUUUGGGUCGUGAUAACUAGGAUGUUAAUAUACAUCAAGGCAAUUGACUAUGAGAUAUGGGAUGUCAGUACCGAUGGUCCUUUCAUUCCAAUGAUUGGAAAUUCAAUAAAUGGUGAGAAAACUCCCAAACAUAGAAGUAGGUGGACAGAAGCUGAAAUAAGGAAAGUUCAAAUCAACUCUAAGGCUAUGCAUACUCUUAUUUGUGUUCUUGAUUAUAGAGAAUAUGAUAAAGUGUUCAUGUGUAAAAGUGCCAAGGAAAUUUGGCAAAAAUUAAGAGAGUUACAUGGGGAAACAAAUAUGGAAAGGGAAUUGGAAGACAACUCUUGCAAGAAUCAAUGCUCAACAAGCAACAUGACAAAUGGAGACAAGGAAUCAAGUGAAGAUGUAUCCUCAAAUUGAAUUGAGUUAUGCUUCAUGGCUCUUGAAGAGUUAAAGGUAACUUUUUCAUCAUGUGAACUUAAUUCAUUUGCUUUCAAUGAAUUACCUGAUGCUUUUGAGGAUUUAGCUUUUGAGUUUGAGAAAAUGAAUAUAAAGAACAAGAAAAUCAUUUCCACACUCGAUGUUGAAAAUGAAUUUUUGAUGAAAACAAAAAUUGAUUUGGAAAAAGAAUAUGAAAAUUUGGAAAAGGAUUUUAAAGCUUACCAAGAGCAAAUUGAUUUUUUCGAAAAAGAAAAUUUUGACGUGAAAAUAAAAUAUGAAGAUUUAUUAAAUGAGAAAGUGGAAGAAAGAUCAAACUUGUGCUUGAUGGUCAGAGAUGAUGAAUCCGAGGUGUCUUCUACUUCUUGUGAUAUUUCAAUUGAUGAGCUACAAGAUGAAUAUGAAUGUCUCUAUGAUGAGUUUGAAAAGCUUGCAUCCAAAUAUAAACUUUGAAAAGAAAAGUUGCAUCUCUUGAAAAUGAUUUGGAAAAGAUAAGACAUGAUUUCAACUAUGCUUUUGAGCAAAGAAAUUUUCUGAAAAUUGAAUUAGAACAUUCAAAAAUAGAUUUUGAAAAUCUACAAUUGGAGUUGAAAAACAGAACAGAUGCUUUACAAGCUGCAGUUGCUGAAAAUACUGCUUUUAAGAAUUUAAGAAAAGAAUCAUCAAGAAAGAGCACAAAUUUCAUAAGAAAUGCUAAUGAUUUCUCCCCUAGAUGCUUUGUAUGUGAUAGAACUGGACAUUUAUCCUAUGAUUGCUUUAGGAAAAGAAAUGUGCGAACAAUUAGAAAAAUUUGGGUUCCAAAAGGAACUUUAUGCAACGAGACUAACUUUCAAGGAUCUAAAGCAAUUUGGAUACCAAAGAUCAAAUGAAAAAUGUCUCUUGUAGGUGUGCUAGAGCAAGGAGAAACAAUUCUUGAAGAAUGAGUGCUUUUGAGUCACACAUAAAGGAAAAUGGGUGAUCUCUAUGGUAAAACUCUUUUGUUUGUUUAAAUGAGAUUUUUUAUUGCUUAUUUAUUGAAUGUUUCAUUGAUUUAGCUUGAUUUUUAAAAUUGUUUGCUCUUCGUAAUUGAAAUCUUUGGUUGCCUAUUCUUGCUUGAAUCUUAAGUGCAAAAUUCUUUGAGCGUUAUUGAUAAAUCUUGGCUAUGCAACUUGAUUUGAUAUGAUACAUGCUAUAAGUUGCAAGGAAGUAUGAAUCUAAAGAUAGAGUAUGUACUUAUAUUUGAUCUUGAAUAUGUCAUCAUCCUUAUUUUGAAAAAAUUGUUUUAUUAAGAUUGAUUGAUUAUGGAAAAUUGUUUCUAUAAAAUUUCCUCAUGAUUUAUGACAUUGUUUCUAUACUACUUCUUUAAGGAAAAAUUAUUUUUGCGUGUAAUUUUGAAACAUAAAAGGUUGGAUAAUGUGAUAGAAAUAUGAGCAUACUUGAUGACUUACACUCACAUUUAUUCAAGUAGCCUAAAACAAGGAAAAUUGAGUUUAAAAAAAUUGUCCUUGAUUUCCUUGUUCCUAACAUAAGUCGACCAUUUGAACAAUCUUGAUUUACAUUCUAGAACUUGUUUGAAUAGUUCAAGAUGGUUGAUAAUGAGCUUGAAAGUUUUGACUACUUGAAUUGGUACUGUUAAAGCAAAAUGAGUUUAUAUGAGAAAAAUGUUGCCAUCCUUUAAGUUUAGAAUUAUAUAUGAAUUAAACAAGUUUGUUUCAUAAUGAAAAAUACUUAUGACUUGUUCUUAUUGGAUGUGCAUAUUUGCUUGUAAGCUUGAAUGGUCACAAGGGCUUUUUGGGAACAUAAUUGUGAGAUAUUUGCAAAUGACCUUUGACAUGCAUAUACAUGAUUCAUUAUGCCCAUUACAUAUUUCAUAAAUCAUUUAGAGCAUAAUGAAACAAAUUGAGUGACAUUGAGCUCAUGAUUUUUCACAAAGCAAGUCUAAUCUUGAAUGUUUCAAGUUAAAAAGUUUGCAAAGAAAGAUUAAAUAUUUAUCAAUUGAUUUUCUUGCGAAAUCUUUUUAUUCUCUUUGAUUGAAAUUAAUUCUUUCUUUUUAAUGACAUAGCAUGAUUGAGCAAACUUGAUUUGAUAUAAUUAUAUAAAUUUCACAAAUUCGAUGUUGCUUGGUAUUUCUCUUAUGAUUGGUAAAAUUGAUUGAAAGGGAUUUUUUAAGCAUGAUUUUGAGUGUGAUAAUUUAACAUUGAUGGAAUUUUUCAAGCAAAAGAACAUAUCUAUUUGCAAUGUUUAGCAUCCUUGAGAUUAUAAUGAUUUCAAUGAUAUAUAAUUUGAACAAGCAUACCUUGUGUUGAAAAUGCCAUUAUAUCUUUUUCUUGUUACAAAUGAUUGCUUGAAUAACCUCAAGGGCAUUUUUGCCCAUAUGCUAGAAAAUUGUAGAAAAUGCUAAAUUUGAUGCUUAUUAUGCUUAAACAUUGUUUAAAUACUUGUUAUACAUGUUAUAAGUCAUAGUCACGCAUCAUGAUGUAAAUUGAAAAUGUUUAAGCAUAUUAAAGGCAUGAUUCUUCAAAUGAGCAUUUUAACUUUUUUGCACUUGUGAACAAUGAGCAAUAAAAGCCAAAAUUUGAGUUCACAUGUUUUUCUUGAAGAAUCUUUGAUCAUACAUGUCCAAAAUAAUGUUCCAAACAUGGUUGAAAUUAAAUUCUAAAUUGUUCUCACACAAAUCCAUGUUUUGAGAUCAUUAUACCUUGGAACAUUGCAUGUUUUGCUCCUUUUGCUAGCUUUUCAAUGUGCAGGAAUCCAGCAUAAUUGACUCCUUAGCAUAACUAGUCGACUAUUGAAAAAAAAUGCAUAUGCUGCUAGAAUGAUAAAAAGUGGACCUAAGGGAUAAGUAGUCGACUCUUGAGUGCUUUAAAGCCAAAAUGGAUAGGUUUUGUGUUCCAAAGUAUCUUUUUACUUUACUUUUUGUCAAUUACAAUAUUUUCUUCUCUGAAUUACCUUUUUAAAGAUGAUUCUUGACUUUUAAACAUUUGCAUUGUGAAUACUCUCAUGAUCAUUUGGUGUAAGUAAUGGGUCUUGAGUUUGUAAAACUUGCUGAAAAAUGGGAAACCCUUUUUGAUGACAUAAAUCUAUCUAUAGCCAAGCAUGACACUCAUAUUGUUUCCAUAAAUUCUCAUGUAUUUACAAUGACAAAAUAGAAAUAUGAGAAAUUGUUCAUCAAUGCUUGAAUUUGUUAAUCCGAUUGGAUUUUCAUGUGCAUAUAUAGAAAAUAUCUUGUCAUGAAAAUUAAAAUGUUCAAAUGCUAAUCUAGGAACAAUUCUUGAAAUAUAUUUUACGUUUGUGCUUCAAUAAUUGUUUCAAAAUUGAUUUCUUGAUUAUGCAUACUUAUUCGAUUAAGAUGAACUCAUUGAACUUAAUGAAAAUAUUCUUGGUUCAUCUACUAUAUUGGUCAAGACACAUGCUUAUAUGAUUUUUCUUCAUGCUUGACCUCAAGGUUUGAAGUCUAAAACUUGACUUGAGCUAUGCAUUUGAACAUGAAAGUAAUUGUCAAGUUUGAUCAUGGCAUAUAUUGUGAGUUGACAUAGUGGAAAUUUAUUUUGAAUAUGCAUUUAAAUGUUAACUAUGUCUUCAUUAAGCCUUAAUGUUUACAUGUUCUAAAGAUUUUGUGUGCAUCCAACUUUAGCUUAUAGGUCACCAUAAACAACUUGACAUGUCAAAUAAAAUAUGGCCUAUAGCUUUAGUUAGCAAUAAAUGCCUAAUGUGCUUUGAUUAAAUAUCUUUUUCUUGACUCUUGAUAAUUGGUAUUCAUUGAUGAUUGAAUGUUCACUUUGAAUAUAUUCAUGAGUUGAGUACUUUACUUUCAAUAUUCUAUAACAAUUGAUAUCACUCGUGAAUUAUGAAUUAUUAAGAAAUUGCAUGUACCUUGAACUUUAAUGGUUGCAUAUUUUUUCAAUGGGUAUCUGUUUAUAUUGAACUCAUGCUUGCAUUUUGAUGAACAAAAUUGGAAUCAUGAUUAAGGAAGAUAGCCAUGUUAUUUCUUAUAACCAUGUUUGUGCUUAUUUGAUCUUAACUCUCAUACAUGAUUGCCAUAAAUGCAAAAUGCCUUAGUCAUGCUUCAUUAAUAAUGAUAUGCCUUUUGUGAAAGUUCUCCUUGAAUUUACAAUUUCAUAUAUAAUUUGGAGAAUUCAUCUUGUAAUGCUUGCUUCAAAAUGACUUGGAUAAAUGACCGCUUGAAAUUGAUUUGGGAAAAUACUUGCUAAAAAUGCUUAAUGAUGAUUUUUUUUCUUGAGUUUCUAUUUUCAUAUAUGAAAUAAGGAAUUUAUUCAAAAUGCUUGAGUGAAACUUCUUGGCUGAUUGAUAUUGGGAAUAAAUAAUGAAUGUUUGAUGAUGAUUGAUAAUACUUGAUGAUAAUUGAUAAUAGUGCUUGAAGACUAAUGAUACCUUAGACAUGCCUAGGAACUACUUGGCAAAUACUUCUUGAAAUAUGAGUAUGUGAUGAAUAUGUUGAACAUCUAUUCAAAUGCUCAUACUUUUUUUUUUGGUUCCAUGAAUACUUGAGUAUUAGGGAAAUAAAUUGAAUAUCCAUAUGAAUGCUCAUUUAUUCUAGGCUCAUGAUUUCUCUCUUAAUAUUUGAUCUAUUGAGGAUCUUUAACAAUUUGUGUUGAGCUUAUGAUUUCUUAAGGGGGAGUCAAUCAUUGUCAUUGAUAUCAUAACGAAUUAAGAUCUUCAACAACAAGGUUUGGUGAGAAUUCAACAUUUGGUGUUCUUCGCUACCGGCAACAUCUUUCUAAACACCAAAACAGAUAUUGUGCCUUAUAUUGCUUCUCACUUUAACUUGAAUGUUGAAAUGCAUAAUUGGUAUCAAGCCUUAAGUUUUCUCAAUUAGAAAACUUGAAUGUCUAGCUUUAAAAUUAGUAUCAAGCUUUAUAAUUGUCUAUUCUUUCUUGAGCUUUAAAUUGAUCAUAUCUUUCUUAAAUGUUUUAAGCCUUGAAGUUGAUAUGCUUGAAAUGCUUAGUGAUAUGGGAAGUCUUUACUAGUGCUUUACUGAUUGAUAUAAUGAGCUUCAAAAUGAUUCCAUCUCUCAUAAUUGAUAUUGUGUUUUUACAAAGGGGGAGAUUUUACUUACAUUGAUCAAUUGGUAUAUUGAGCUUUAACACUUGGUAUUGGAAUUCAAACAUGGCUUUUGUGCUUAUUGAACGUCUUUAUGAUCAUCUUUGUUGGACUUCAUAAUCGUUAUGCGCACAUUUUGCUUUUAGUAUAUAUUCAUGUGGUUAAGUGCAUAUAUAUGAUGACUUUGUGACUUUAUGGUUACAUAUUCAUGGUCUUCAUGCUUCUAUUCUUGAUGGAUUUUGCUCACUCUUCUUAAUCUUUUUGAUAUAACAAAAAGGGGGAGAAGGUUUACGAGCAAAUUUAAUUUUAUGCAUAUGUUGAAAGGGAGAUUUUAAAAUCAUUUCAAAUGCAAAUUAUGCUCAUAAUUUUGUCAUAUCAAAAAGGGGGAGAUUGUUAGCUUUAAAAUUAUUAUAGUUUUGAUUAUGACAAAAUGAUCAAAUUUGCUUGAACAUUAUUUGAGUAAUCUUUGACAAUUUCUUGAAACGAUGUAACUCCGAUACAUUUGUUCUUACAUAGACACAAGCUUGACUCUUGAAGUUAUUGAACUAUAUCUAUAAGCUUGUAUGACUUAGGUGUAUGAGAGCUUAUGAUUCCUAUUCAUUAAAGUCUGAUUUAAAGAUUAAAGAAAAAUCUAGAUGCACUCUUUAAGGGGGAGUUUUGAAUAUCUUUUUUAAUGAUGGCAAAAAAAAAGGAAAGAAGGAAAAGUAAGUUAAAUUGAGUGUGAUAGGUUUCCAUGUUUAAUUUAUGUGUGUGAUGCUUAGUUAUGAUUUUAUUAAAUAUUAUGUGCUAGUUAUUAUGGAUAUUCGAUAUAUCUUGCUUAGCUACUGUGGGCAUUGUAUAUCUUGUUUAGCUAUUAUGGAUAUGAUAAGUAGUUUAUUGCAAAUCUUUAAAGAAAACUAGAUGCAUUGACUAAGAGGGAGCAACUCAUUAUGCAUAAAGAUUUGAAGCAUUCAUAUUGAGCAUAGAAAUUGCACUAUAAAUCUAGGAGUGUUUUGUCAUCAUAAAAUAUAAGAGAUAGAGAUUGUUGACUCUAUAUGUUUUUGAUGAUAGCAAAGUAUUCCCAAUCAUUUGUGUCUAAUGCCUUUACUUGAGUGUGCAGGAAAAUUAAUGUAUGAAAUUAAUAAAUCAACCUUUCAUAGUGUAUAUCAAAAGAAAAAGGGAGAUAAAAAUAAUAAGACAUGACUGCUUAACAAGGAGAAAGCUCAUUAGUUGACUAAGAAAAAAUGUUGGUUGGCCAAGAUUCAAAUUGGAGAAAUGGUGGGCUGAAGAGUUUGAGAAAUAGAACCAACUUAGUCGACCAAGUAAGUUGACUAAGUGCUCUCUACUAGAAUCUGUAACUUGAAAUAGAACCAACUUAGUCGACCAAGUCAGUCGACUAUGAGCUCUUUGUUUGCAAGUUGAACCAGAGCACUACAAGAUAGAUUAACGGCUAGAACUCAUCCUCAACUGUUUCCAAUGGACACCAAACUGCCAUCAGAGUUGCAUCUCUAAGUAUAAAAGGGUCUUCCAACAAUUAGAAACAAGUUCUUGGAAGUUUUGGAAGAGAUUUGAGCAAUUAAGAGUUGAUAAACUAGAAAUUUUUCUCUUCAUCUCACUGCACUUAAACGUGCAUUCUUUGUACUUGUAUUCUGCACUCAACCCUGUACCAUUCAGAUCAACUUGUGAUCAUAGGUACUUUCUUCUACUUCUCUUAUUGUAUUCUUAGAGUGAGGGAGUCACUCUAGGUGGUUGUUUCAAGCGAGGUUUGCUUGAAUGUGUUAAGGUUCUAACUUAGCCUUGAAAAGUUAGUUGCUAGGUUUUGGUUGAUCCCGUGAAAAACCAUUGUUGUCGGUUGUGGUUGCACCUUUGAAAAACCACUUUGGGUUUUGGUUGAGCUUGUGAAAAACCAUUGUGAACGGUUGUGGUUGAGCCUUUGAAAAGCCACUUUGGGUUAUAGUUAAGCCCGAGAAAAACUAGUGUUAAAGGUUUUGGCUAAGCCUUGUAAAAGCCAUUGUAAAGCUUGGUGAAAGCUUGAGAAUUUCAUCAGUUCUUAGUGGAUUGUUAGAAAAAUCCUUAGUUGGAUAAUCAAGGUAGUGGAUGUAGGUCUUGGACCGAACCACUCUAAAUUAUGCUGUCUUGUUUACUCUGUUUUUGUUUUAUUUUCAUUCCUUCAUUUGUCUCGCCUUUGUCUAUACUUAGAGACAAUUUUUAAAAGAGACAAAUUAUGCUAUUCACCCCCCCUCUAGCACAUAUUAUUGGGACCAACAAAUAAAACUCUCUUCACGCAAAGCAAAGGCAAAGACAUUUUAUUUAUGCAAGUUUUUCUUGAUGAUAUUAUUUUUGGUGCUACUAACGAGCUUCUUUGUCAAGGGUUUGCUAAGACUAUGCAAGGUGAAUUCGAGAUGAGCAUUAUGGGUGAACUAAACAAUUUUCUUGGACUACAAAUCAAACAACGAAAAGAUGGCACAUUCAUAAGUCAAGCCAAGUAUACUAAAGAUAUGCUCAAGGAGUUUGGUGUGGAUAGCACAAGAACAUAUGACACACCAAUAAGCACUUAAAAAAUGCUUGACAAGGAUGAGAAAGGUAUGCCUAUUGACCAAAAGCUCCUUGCUCUAUCUCACUGCUAGUAGACCCUGACAUAAGCUUUAGUGUGGGUUUAUGUGCUAUUUUUCAAUCAUCUCUUAGAGAACCUUAUCUAAGUGCUAUCAAAAGAAUUUUUAGAUACUUGAAAGACAUAUCUAACCUAGGAAUAUGGUAUCUAAGGAGUUCCUCUUUUGAUCUCUACUCAUACUCGAAUGUUGAUUUUGGUGGAUGUAAAAUUAAUAAAAAAAGCACAUCCAGUACAUGUCAAUUUUUAGGAAGUAUGUUGAUCUAAUAGUUCUCAAAGAAACAAAAUAGUGUAGUCCAAUCCACUACCAAAGCUGAAUAUUUGGCUGUCAGAAGUUGUUGUGCUCAAGUGUUAUGAAUGAAGCAAUAAUUAGAAGAUUAUGGACUAGCCAUGGAAAGAAUUCCUAUAAAAUGUGACAACACUAGUGCCAUAAAUCUCACAGAAAAUCCCAUCCUUCACUAUAAGACGAAACACAUAGAAAUAAGCAAUCACUUUAUUAGAGAUCAUGUUAAAAAAUGAGAUAUUGUUGUUGAAUAUGUAGGAUCAAGUAGAAAACCUCGACCUCUAUAGGCUCAUAACUAGGCAUAGACAUAAUAACACGGGUUAAGGGUCAUUUCGUCAUUUAUUUAGUAAGCCCUUAAAAGUAAGUUUUAAACAAUAUUAAGGCCUAAAUAGGCCUAAGGCAUAAAUGAAUGAUGAAAAUAUGGGUAAAAUAACGAAGGAAAUAAUAAUGGUGAUGAUUUUCACGAUAGGGGCAAAAUGGUCAUUUUUCACCUCGAGUAAAAAUUUUGAAGUUUUCAUGAACUCGAGCAUUUCUAGACCAUUAUGGACCUUGUCCCAAUGUCAAAGGAGUAAAAGAUUGCAUAAAGGAUUAGAGGAGAACAAGUUGACUUGUGAGGGCAUUUUGGUAAUUUAAGUGAAGUCGAUAAGGUUGGGCUAUAAAAUCUCUUUCUUCUAGCGGCAUCUUCUCCCAUUCUCCAGUAGCUUUUCUCCUUCUUCUUCCUCUCAUCUCACGUUGCUUUCAUCCUCCAUGAAAGCUUGAUAUGAAAGCUCCAUAACCUCCCUUAAAAUAGCUCCACUUUUCAUACCUUGGUGCACCCCUUUCAUCAACCCUUGUGCUCUUCCACUCUCUCACUUUGAAACCCUUGAAAAAUCUUGUUUCCUUACUCUCUCUCACUAGUUAGGUGUUUUAGAGAGAGAAAGAGGAAGUUUUAAUAAUAGCUUGAAAGUUGUUGGGAAGAAUUUCAAAUUCAAGCUAUUUGUGAAACCUCGACCUUCAUAGACGAGUAACUCGAGGUGGAACUUAUGUUUAAAGGUUUAAUUUGAGCUAAUGAUGCUAGUUCUACGUUACUUACAAGUAUUUUAUGUCGUUAUAGGAGUAGGAUAAAAAACAAUUUUAAUUAGUGAAGAAAGGUGCAUAAUGAACAGUAGCCUUAUUUGCAUAUGUUUCGAUUUUUCAAGUAUAUCUCCCACUACAGAAGUUCAAAUAACAUGAUUUUUUGACCAGUAGAAAGGUAAGAGGCAGGGCUACAACUUUAAUAUUUACCAAUUUUCCCAGUUCUAGGGAGAAUGUGGUCAAAAUCUUUGUCGAAGUGAAAGGACUGCACCAAAAGAACAAAAAUUGGCAGGGUGUUUAAGCGCCGCAACGCUAGCAAUUGAGAGUCGCAGCCCUCACCGUAAAUUCUAGAAAUGACAAGAUUUUGGGGUUUUUGAAGCUAGGACUUUUGGGGGCUACUUAAGGGACCUCUUUCAGAGGAUUUUGGACCUUUCCCUAAUGUCAAAAGAAUAAAAGAUUGCAGAAGAGCAAGAGUGUGAGACCUUAACCCCUAUAGUCUCAUAACUACACAAAGACGCAAUAACACGAGCCAGGGGUAGUUUCAUCAUUUCACCUAAAAAAGUCCCAGAAGAAGGUUUUAUGAUAUUUUAAGGUCUAAAUAGGCAUAAGACCGAAUAAGUAAUGUGUAACGAUGAAAACACGAAGAAAACUAGAAGUUUCGAUAAUUUUCACAAUAGGGGCAAAAAUGGUCAUUUUGCACCCCGAGUCAAAAUUUUACAUUUUUGUAAACCCGAGUAGUUUAGAUCAUUUUGGACGUUGUCCCAGUAUCAAAAGAAUAAAAAAAAAAUUCACAAAGGAUAGGAGAAGAACAAGUUAACUUGCUAAAGGGCAUUUUCGUAAUUUCAAGGGGAGUUGGAUAAGUAUGAGCAAUAAAUAUCUUUCUUCCAGUAGCUUCCUCAUUCUCCAGUAGCUUUUCUUCUUCUUAUUCCUUCUUCCUUCUCACGUUUCUUCAUCCUCCAUGGGAGUCCUCUUCAAGCUUCCAUAACUUUCUCUCUCUAGCUCUAAUUUUCAUGCCUCGGUGCACCUUUUCAUGAAAUCCUUAUGCUCUUUCACUUUAAAACCCUUGAAAAAAUCCCACUUUCAUACUUUCUCUCACUAGCUAGGUGUUUAGAGAGAGAAAGAGAGAGAAAGCUCCCAUAAUAAUUUGGAAAACUUAUUGGAAUGAAUUUCAAAGUUUCAAGCUACCAAGGUGAGUAGGGGGUGUCAAUUUUAAAAAUUUUCAUAAAUAUAUACCUAUAAGUAUGAUUUAUUUUAAUUGUGAAAAUUAUGGGUAGCAUGUGCUGGUAGAUAUUUUAGGGAAUUGUGAAUCUUUGUAGUUGAGGUUAUCUACUCAUUUUAAAGUGAUUAGGGUAGUGAAAAUGGAUAGCCAUUUAAAUGGCAAUUAGAAGCUAGCUAAGAGAAAGCCUUAGACUUUAUAAGUAUGUGAAUUGACAAAUUGGUGAUGCUAAUGUGAUGAUAGGUUCCAACGAAGCCCCAUCAUCCCAUUUGGAUAAUUAGGGAAGUUAGGAUCGGCUAAAGGCUCAAAUAAUACCGAUGAUUGAACAUGCAUUUCAAAAUUGUUUGGGGAAUGUGAAUGUCUUUGCACAAAGCAUUCGAACGAUUUUAUACAACUUUUCUAAAAAAUGAGUGCCUUGGGAACAAGCCCUUUAUAAAUUGUCUUUACGUUGUGACAUGUGGCUGUUAUGGAUUCAUGCACUGCUACAUUUUGUUGAUAUAUAUAUAUAUAUAUAUACGAAUAUGUGUUCUGUGAUGAUAUUGACCCGGCUAUGUACGAGUAGGGAGUGCACAUAAGCCGAUGCUGAUCUAGCUAUGUGUGAGUAGGGAGUGCGCAUAAGCCAAUGCUAACCCAGCUAUGUGCGAGUAGAGAGUGCACAUGAGCUGAUGAUGAGGGGGUGGUGUGCAUGGUGAUGGAUAUGUAUAUAUAUACAUAUAUAGAUAUGUGUGUUAUAGAAAGUUCAUGAGUAUACUAUACGGUUUUGCACAUGUGUAUGUUGCAUGUUGAACUUUGGGAAUUAUUAUGUGCUUUAUGUUGGUUUUUGUGAUUUUUGCAAAAGGGCUUUUCUUUAAAGAAAGGAAACUUUUUUUCUUGCUGCCCUGUUUUCCACUUCUUUUGUACCAUAGUUGAGCAUGGACCUUUUAAUCAAGUGAUUUAUUCAUUUAGGGUUUACAUAAAGGGUUUUGAUAAGAGCUAAACUAAGUUGCAUAGUUUUAAAGAUAAAUGCAUCAUGAUUUCUUUAAAUUUCCCUUGUUGUUGCUUGUUCCCUUCCUUGUUCACUCGCUGGGUUUAGACUCACCGUUUUCAACUUCAUGUUUUUAGAUCAAGAGGCAGUCGGUAACUAGGUCGAGGUGUCCCCAGAGACUUUUAUCCAUCUGUUGGUAGGUAUCAAUGGCAUGUAGUAGCUACACCUACACUGUGGUCAUUCCGCUAGAGGUUCAGAGUCAUUUUGUUGUAAAUAUGUAUAUGUGAUGUAAAUUAUUAAAGUACAUGCUUAGACAAUAUAAGUACACUUUGAUUGGUAUGCCAUUAUGAGUGGGAAACGCUUAGUAUUAUUUUGACUUAAGUUAUGAAAUGUGACCUAGCAACUUUGAUGGAAUUAUGAACAAGUCAAUUAAAUAGGCUUGCUUGGGCUUAGUAGGCUACAUCCAUUGGGCUCGUGAGCCAGUCGUGACACUACCAAGGUGAGUAGUACACUAGAAUUGAGUUUUUAUGUUGAAAAUGAUUAGUGUUUAAACUUGGGGGCGAUUUGGCAGUUGGGGUUGCUCAUUCAUUUUAGAGUGAUAAGGGUAGUGAGAAUAGAUAGCCAUUUAAAUGGCCAUUGGAAGUUAGCUAAAAGAAAGUUUUUGGACUUUAUAAGUAUGUGAAUUGACAUAUUGGUGAUGCUAAUGUGAUGAUACGUUGUAAUGAAGUCCCACAGCCCCAAUUGGACCAUUAAGGAAGUUAGAGUCAGUUAAAGGCUCAACAAAUACCGGUGAGUGAACUUGCAUUUCAAAAUUUGUUUUGGGAAAGUAAACUUAUUUGCACAAUAUACUUGAAUGAUUUUAUCCAACUUUCCUUAAAAACAAGUACCUUGGGAACAAGCUUUUGACAAAUUGAUUUUAUGUUGUGACAUGUGGUUGUUAUGGAUUCAUGCACAACUACAUUAUGUUUGUAUAUAUAUAGAUAUAUAUAUGUUGUGCAUGAUGGUUGAUAUUGUGUGAUGAUUAUAACCGUGUGUGUGCAUGAUGUGGGGGGAUGCACAUGCCCGUAAUGAUGGUGGUGAGGGAGAUGGAUGAUGAUAGUGCUCGUGUGCACGAUGUGGGGGGAUGUGCACGAUGGCACUAACUGUGCACGAUGUGGGGGGAUGCACACGAUGACUCUGGCUAUGUGCACAAUGUGGGGGGAUGCACAUGAGCUAGAUGUGAUGAUAGUGGUAUUGGUAUUUAUCCAUGUAUGUAUAUGUAUAUAUGUUUAGAGAAUGAAAACUCAUGUAUAUGGUUUAUGGUUGAAAUGCAUAUGAAUUUGGCAUGUUGAACUUUGGAAAUCUUUAUGUGUUUUAUGUUGAUUUUGUCAUUUCAGCAGGAUGGCUUUUUNNNNNNNNNNNNNNNNNNNNNNNNNNNNNNNNNNNNNNNNNNNNNNNNNNNNNNNNNNNNNNNNNNNNNNNNNNNNNNNNNNNNNNNNNNNNNNNNNNNNNNNNNNNNNNNNNNNNNNNNNNNNNNNNNNNNNNNNNNNNNNNNNNNNNNNNNNNNNNNNNNNNNNNNNNNNNNNNNNNNNNNNNNNNNNNNNNNNNNNNNNNNNNNNNNNNNNNNNNNNNNNNNNNNNNNNNNNNNNNNNNNNNNNNNNNNNNNNNNNNNNNNNNNNNNNNNNNNNNNNNNNNNNNNNNNNNNNNNNNNNNNNNNNNNNNNNNNNNNNNNNNNNNNNNNNNNNNNNNNNNNNNNNNNNNNNNNNNNNNNNNNNNNNNNNNNNNNNNNNNNNNNNNNNNNNNNNNNNNNNNNNNNNNNNNNNNNNNNNNNNNNNNNNNNNNNNNNNNNNNNNNNNNNNNNNNNNNNNNNNNNNNNNNNNNNNNNNNNNNNNNNNNNNNNNNNNNNNNNNNNNNNNNNNNNNNNNNNNNNNNNNNNNNNNNNNNNNNNNNNNNNNNNNNNNNNNNNNNNNNNNNNNNNNNNNNNNNNNNNNNNNNNNNNNNNNNNNNNNNNNNNNNNNNNNNNNNNNNNNNNNNNNNNNNNNNNNNNNNNNNNNNNNNNNNNNNNNNNNNNNNNNNNNNNNNNNNNNNNNNNNNNNNNNNNNNNNNNNNNNNNNNNNNNNNNNNNNNNNNNNNNNNNNNNNNNNNNNNNNNNNNNNNNNNNNNNNNNNNNNNNNNNNNNNNNNNNNNNNNNNNNNNNNNNNNNNNNNNNNNNNNNNNNNNNNNNNNNNNNNNNNNNNNNNNNNNNNNNNNNNNNNNNNNNNNNNNNNNNNNNNNNNNNNNNNNNNNNNNNNNNNNNNNNNNNNNNNNNNNNNNNNNNNNNNNNNNNNNNNNNNNNNNNNNNNNNNNNNNNNNNNNNNNNNNNNNNNNNNNNNNNNNNNNNNNNNNNNNNNNNNNNNNNNNNNNNNNNNNNNNNNNNNNNNNNNNNNNNNNNNNNNNNNNNNNNNNNNNNNNNNNNNNNNNNNNNNNNNNNNNNNNNNNNNNNNNNNNNNNNNNNNNNNNNNNNNNNNNNNNNNNNNNNNNNNNNNNNNNNNNNNNNNNNNNNNNNNNNNNNNNNNNNNNNNNNNNNNNNNNNNNNNNNNNNNNNNNNNNNNNNNNNNNNNNNNNNNNNNNNNNNNNNNNNNNNNNNNNNNNNNNNNNNNNNNNNNNNNNNNNNNNNNNNNNNNNNNNNNNNNNNNNNNNNNNNNNNNNNNNNNNNNNNNNNNNNNNNNNNNNNNNNNNNNNNNNNNNNNNNNNNNNNNNNNNNNNNNNNNNNNNNNNNNNNNNNNNNNNNNNNNNNNNNNNNNNNNNNNNNNNNNNNNNNNNNNNNNNNNNNNNNNNNNNNNNNNNNNNNNNNNNNNNNNNNNNNNNNNNNNNNNNNNNNNNNNNNNNNNNNNNNNNNNNNNNNNNNNNNNNNNNNNNNNNNNNNNNNNNNNNNNNNNNNNNNNNNNNNNNNNNNNNNNNNNNNNNNNNNNNNNNNNNNNNNNNNNNNNNNNNNNNNNNNNNNNNNNNNNNNNNNNNNNNNNNNNNNNNNNNNNNNNNNNNNNNNNNNNNNNNNNNNNNNNNNNNNNNNNNNNNNNNNNNNNNNNNNNNNNNNNNNNNNNNNNNNNNNNNNNNNNNNNNNNNNNNNNNNNNNNNNNNNNNNNNNNNNNNNNNNNNNNNNNNNNNNNNNNNNNNNNNNNNNNNNNNNNNNNNNNNNNNNNNNNNNNNNNNNNNNNNNNNNNNNNNNNNNNNNNNNNNNNNNNNNNNNNNNNNNNNNNNNNNNNNNNNNNNNNNNNNNNNNNNNNNNNNNNNNNNNNNNNNNNNNNNNNNNNNNNNNNNNNNNNNNNNNNNNNNNNNNNNNNNNNNNNNNNNNNNNNNNNNNNNNNNNNNNNNNNNNNNNNNNNNNNNNNNNNNNNNNNNNNNNNNNNNNNNNNNNNNNNNNNNNNNNNNNNNNNNNNNNNNNNNNNNNNNNNNNNNNNNNNNNNNNNNNNNNNNNNNNNNNNNNNNNNNNNNNNNNNNNNNNNNNNNNNNNNNNNNNNNNNNNNNNNNNNNNNNNNNNNNNNNNNNNNNNNNNNNNNNNNNNNNNNNNNNNNNNNNNNNNNNNNNNNNNNNNNNNNNNNNNNNNNNNNNNNNNNNNNNNNNNNNNNNNNNNNNNNNNNNNNNNNNNNNNNNNNNNNNNNNNNNNNNNNNNNNNNNNNNNNNNNNNNNNNNNNNNNNNNNNNNNNNNNNNNNNNNNNNNNNNNNNNNNNNNNNNNNNNNNNNNNNNNNNNNNNNNNNNNNNNNNNNNNNNNNNNNNNNNNNNNNNNNNNNNNNNNNNNNNNNNNNNNNNNNNNNNNNNNNNNNNNNNNNNNNNNNNNNNNNNNNNNNNNNNNNNNNNNNNNNNNNNNNNNNNNNNNNNNNNNNNNNNNNNNNNNNNNNNNNNNNNNNNNNNNNNNNNNNNNNNNNNNNNNNNNNNNNNNNNNNNNNNNNNNNNNNNNNNNNNNNNNNNNNNNNNNNNNNNNNNNNNNNNNNNNNNNNNNNNNNNNNNNNNNNNNNNNNNNNNNNNNNNNNNNNNNNNNNNNNNNNNNNNNNNNNNNNNNNNNNNNNNNNNNNNNNNNNNNNNNNNNNNNNNNNNNNNNNNNNNNNNNNNNNNNNNNNNNNNNNNNNNNNCCUGUGAGUGGACUGCCUAUCAAAAUUGUUUUGGGAAUAUGACUGUUUUGAACAAAGUGUUUGAAUGAUUUUAUGCAAUUUUUCAUGAAAAUGAAUGCCUUGGGAACAAGCUUUUGAGAAAAGGUUUAUGUUAUGAAAUGUGGUUAUUAUGGAUUUCUAUGUGGCUGCAUUAUGUUGAUAUACAUAUAUGCUUGAAUAUAAUGUUGUGUAAUUAUGUUGACUCGACUAUGUGUGAGUAGGGAAUGCGCAUAAGCCGAGGAUGACCCGGUUAUGUGCGAGUAAAGAGUGCGCAUAACUCAGUGAUGACCCAGCCAUGUGCGAGUAGAGAGUGCGCAUGAGAUGGUGAUGAUGAUGAUGGGUUGGUGAGAUGAUGAUGAUGGGUAUAUACGUAUAUAUAUAUAUACAUAUGUAAAUAUGUGUGAUAUAGCAAAUUGAUGGACAAUGAUUUAUGGUUGUAAUGUACAUGAAAUUUGACACAUUGUACUUUGAGAAUUUUAAUGAAUUUUAUGUUGAUUUUAUUAGUUUAGCAUGAUGGCUUUUUGUUGAGUGAGGAAAAAUGUUUCUCUUGUUGCUCUGUUUUCACUGCAGCGAAAUUCAUGCUCGCUGCAGCGAGAAACUCUGAGGUUUGGAGGGGUUUUAAAUAGGAAUGAACUAAAUUGCAUUGUUUUGAAACAAGUGCAUCAUGAUUUUAAAUUUUCCCUAAUUGUUGCUUGUUCCCUACCUUGUUCACUCACUGAGUUUAUACUCACCAUUUUCAAAUUCAUGUUUUCAGAUCACGAGGCAGCUGAUAAUUAGGAUGAGGUGUCCUUGUAGACUUGUGUCCAUCUUUUGGUAGGUGUCUCGGCAUUCGGUAGCUGUAUAUUCAUCCGAGUCCCUUCGCUGGAAGUCGAGUAUUAUUUUGUUAUGUAUGAAUGAACUUAAUGUAAAUUUUAAAUGAGUAAUGCCAGUACGAGUUGGCAAUGUAUAUCACUAUUUUGAUUCAAAGUCAUGAAAUAUGACUUAGUGAUAAUAGAUGGAAUCAUAAGUAAGAUAAAUAAUAGGCUUGCUUGGGUUUAGUGGAUUACGUCCAUUGGACCGAUGCGCCAGUCAUGGCCCGGAAUUUGGGUCGUGACAUUAGUGGACUACGUCCAUUGAGCCCAUGUGCUGGUCAUGGCUUGGAAUUUGGGUCGUGACAUCAACAGAGCAAUUGGCUGAUAUCUUCACAAGAGCACUUGAUAGAGAACAAUUUUGCAAAAUUAGAAGUGAAUUAAGUCUUAUAAAUCCAUCCUAAAAAAAGAGAAAACUAUAGCUAAUAGCUACUUAUGAUUAAAUUUUUUUCCCUAAUGUUGUAUAUGACAAGCAUGUAUAAAUCCAUUUCCUACACCCAUAUUGCCUACAUCAUGCAUAGUGUUUUAGGUCUUUCUUGCUUCAAGUUAAGGAUGAUGUUUGGAAUGACUUCAUGUAUGACACUUGACUAUUCUUUGUGCAUCCAUAAACUCGCAUGCUCAUGGCACUCUUAUAAAUGAUUGUUAUUCAGUUACAUAUAUACAUUCAUAUGCAUUCACGCCAUGGCCAUCUAAUUCUUAAGGGUUAUGGGAGAGUUGUUGAGUGGACCAAAUUUUCUUUCAAAAACUCUUGAUUUAAUGUUUAGAUUUCACUUGUAGUGGUUCCAGACUUUGUUUUCAAAUAUUUUCAAAUCAAAACUUCACAUUAUUUUGAUUGUACAUUGUGUUUGGACCAAAUCACGAAUUUUUUAAGCCAAAAUUAGUUUGUUCAAGGCCAUAGUUGUUAAUGUAUCAAUACAUUAACCCAUGUAUUGAUACAUUCAACAACAUGUAUCGAUACAUCUCUACUUGUAUCAAUACAAUUCGUCUAGUAGCCAAAAUAAAAUUCAUGUGUUACAUGUAUCGAUACAUAGGCAUAUGUAUUGAUACAUCAUACAAUGUAGUGAUACAUUUUGUCUAGUAGUCAAAAAUAAAAUAUUCUACCAUGACUAUGUUGAUACAUGGGCACAUGUAUCGAUACAUUGUAGGGUUUUAAGAGAUUGUUGACUCAUUUUCGCCACAUUUCUCAACUCUCUUUCCUUUAAAUUCUCUCAAACCUCCAAAUCGUUUUUGUUUUUUAGUCCUAUCUGGUCUGAUUAAACCUUUACUAACCAUUUUUUAUUGAUCAAAACACCAUUUUUUCAUCCCAAAACACUACAUUUGGCCUGCAAUCCUAAAAUUCCCAUUUUGAAACCCUAGGUUCCCUUUUCUUGAAUUUUUGCAAAUUCCUCAAUUUUUAGGGAAAAUCUCACUGAUUACAAGUUUUCCUAGCCAUUUUUGACUAUUUCUGUCAGUUCCUUUUCACAAAAUCAAAACUCUAAUGGCCUAUUGACCUAAACGCACUAAAUCCACCUCUUCCCGCCACUAGGUCUCAACCCUAGAUGCUUCCGCCUCCUCUCAACCACCACCAUUAUCGGCACCACGAAACGACGACAGCUCCUUCAAGCAAAACUUCUCUCACCCCUCUUUGAAGUGAAAAUUCAACAAGGAUUACACAGAGCGAGACGUAAAGCUGAGACAGGUAAUCAACUUUAACUAUCUCAAAAGCAUUAAUGUUCCAUUUAUUGAUAAUUUUUUAGAAUUGGGCUGGCUAAAUUACUUGUCAAUGCACUGCACUUAGUAUGUUGAUUUAGUUAGUGUGUUUUACUUUAAUGCAACCAUAAAAUUUUAGGACUAUGAGGAUAGUGAACCCAUAGAACAAACUGAUAAGUUUUGUACCUAUGUCAUGGGUAAGAAAAUCGUGGUCUCCCGACACGUCGUAGACUCUAUCUAAGACUUUGAUAUCUGUCAGGGUGAUCAGGCCUAUGCCAAGGGGGUCUUGUCCAAUAAGGUGCUGUCCAUUGCUUAUAUCGAUUCUCCCACUAGUGAAAAGAAUACGACCAGUGUCAAGUGUUUAUCUUUUUACAAUCGUAAUCACACUUAUGGCACCAAUUAGUCCACUGUCAACAGUGAGGACUUUUGGUUUUUGUCUCGUAUCAAAUCCAACCACGGUGUCAACCUAGCCAAGUUCAUACUUGAUGAUAUAUUGAAAAUUAUAAACAAGUUUAGGAAGACCCUUUUCUAUGGCAUGGCCAUUUGUGCCAUCAUUGACUCUGUGAGAAUCAAUACUAGGUGUGACCCACCUAAACAACAUGCCAUGCACAAGAAGAUCAAUGAGCAUGCCAUCAACAAACUUGGAUUUGUGUAUUUCAACCAUUCUUGGAUCUGUAAAGAAACGUCAACAAACAUGAUAUUAUUAGGGAUAAGGUAAAUGAGGAUACAUUUACUUAGCCUUAUGUAGCCCCUAGUGUAGGUCUGAGUGUGCACCCGACGGUUAACCCUAGCUUCCCACCUAUGUCAAUUGCCUUUGACUUUGAGCUAGCUUUUACUCGAUUAUUAUCUUUUAUGGAAUCUAUUAAUGCUUGUGUAGUUAACAAGUUGGAUGCUUUAGAGGCCCAAAACUAGGAGUUACUUCAUUGCUAGUAGUUGCUUGAGGAGCGAUUUCGAGCUCACUUUCCACCACCAUCUUGAGCUUCUCACAUGGGCCAUUUGCCUACCUUUAGCUCACCAUGUUAUCCUUGGAUUAGAUGGCCACAUUGUCAUAUCAUUUUCCUCAUUAUUUACCACUAACAUUGUCUUGCAUUUUGUCUUUUUCGGAUUUUAUAUACUGAUGUUAACUGGUUAUUGGUGACCAAAUAUUGGAUUGUCUUAUGCUUUGUGCUACUUUAUGCUUGUGCACCACACAUUAUGUUAAUACUCAACUUAUUUACAUUCAUGUUAUCUUGCUUAUGCUUAUUUGAAUGGUCUGCUUUAUAUUUUGCAAAGUUAUUAUUUCUACCUUUUAUGCUCUAUUUAUUAUUUUCAUAUUUUGGACUUAUUUCUCUUAUUAUGUCUGAUGUUGUUAUGGGAUGACAGUUCGUCACUUUGUUUAAAACCAGUUCUUUUACCUGGCCCCAUGCUUUUAUAUCCAAUUGAUUUUCCUUUUUGUUUCAUGCUAACUUUCUUUUUGAUAAAACAAAAAGGGGAGACUAGGGAGCAAAUUUUAUAUCACUUUCUCAUCAUAACAAUCAAACUAUUUUCAAAUUCACAAAUUCUUAAAAGGACUUUAAAUUGUUAGGGAGCAUUGAUUAAGGGGGAGGGUUCAAAACUACAUACAACUUUUAAAUCUUCCAAAGUUUAAGAGAAACCAUUUUCAAAAGUUUAAACAAGUUUGCUUAUUAUUUUAUCAUUCAAAAAAGAGGGUGAUUUUUAGCUUAAUAGUUUUCAAAUAAAUCUCAGGUUUUGAAGUGACAAAAAUAAAAUGAUGAAAAUUCAUUUAAAUCUUGGAAUAUCAAGACUAGACAUCCCUUAACACUUUCAGAUGAGUUUGAGAAGAAAAAUAAUGAAAAAGCACUUUGAAAUAUGCAUUAUAGUCCAAAUCUAUCGAUACAUGUUCUUUAUUUAUCGAUACAUGUUCUUGAGAAAAGUCAAAUUUUGAAAAGUCAAACUCAAUAUAUUGAUAGAUUCUCAAAUGUAUCAAUAGAAAUGCAACAGAAUGCUCGCUGCCUCAAAAGUGUUGAUAUAUUUCUCAAAUUUAUCAAUACAUUUUCAACAAAAUGUUCACCGUAUCAAAAGUAUUGACACAUUAGUAAAUGUAUCGAUAUUGUUGGUCUGAUUACACACAUAAGUGCACGUGGCCAUACAAAUAAUAUUGUCACAGCCUAAUUCCAAAGCCAUGACCGGCACAAGGGCCCAAUAGGCAUAGCCCACCAGGCCCAAGCAAGCCUCUCUUUCUUUAAGAUCUAAAACUCAUAAUUUCUAAUAAAUAUUCUUUCAAAAUUAAACCGUGAGAACCAAGUAUAUAUAUAUAAUGUUCUCGAAUUUAGGUUAUCAUUCAUCAACCUCAUACGACAUGGUUAAUCAAACCAACAUACAAAGUGCACAACAACCUCACAAUUUACAUUUAAGCAACUAUAUACACAUGCAAAAGACCUUGAUUAUCAGCGGAGUGACUCUGGGUGUGGGUACUGCUACUAGAUGCCAUGGUACCUACCAAAUGGUGAAUACAAAUGGACAUUUCAAUCUAGGUCCCAACUACCUCCGAAUCUGAAAAUAUGAAGUUAAAAAGAGUGAGUAUAAACCCAGUGAGUGAACAUGGGAAGGGAACAAGCAAACGAUAAGGAAAAUUUAGAAUUCAUGAUGCACCUAUGUUAAAAACAAUACAAUUUAGUUUAAGUCCUUGUAAAACCCCUCAAUUCGACCUUUGAUUAUUUAACCCCUUAGUAUUGAAGGAUCCAUGAUCGAUAAUGAAAUCAAAAAGUGAAAACCACAGUAAGUAUUCGAGCAAGACAAGCAAGAUAGAGAGUUUUUUUUUUUUUGCUUUGAAAAUCAAUUUGGAAACAAUUAACAAUUUCAACAUUAAACAUUCAUUACAAUCACAUAAUAUUUUCUCUAACAUUUCUAUGGUAUGUGUAAACAUGUAUACAACCACUGGCUCAUCAGCUCAUGUGCACUCCCACACUGCACAUAGCUGGAAUCAUCAUCCACCGGUCAUUAGCUCAUGUGCACUCCCACACCGCACACGUGCGGUUACAAUUAUCACAUAAUAUUAUCAUUGAAAGCAUAACAUAUAUAUCAUCAGUAUAUAGGAACACAUGGGUUCAAAACAUUACACAUUUUACAACAUAAAACGUUUCAUCAAGGGCUUGUUCCCAAGCAUGAGUUAGAGAAAAGAAAUCAAAUAAAAUCAUUUAAGUGCUUUAUCCCAACACAUAUUGUCACAGCCCAAUUCCAAGGCCAUUACUGGUGCAAGGACCCAAUAGGCGUGGCCCAUUGGGCCCAAGCAAGCCUUUCUAUGAAAACUUGUUUAUUAGACCACCUGUCCCUCUUUUACCUCUAAGUUUCUUAAUUCAUUGCUUUCAAAAAUAAUUUCCUUUCGAAAAUAAAUCAUGGCAACUGAACAAUACCAUUCACAAACCAAACAUACAGUGUUUACAACAAAUCUCAUGAAUUACAUUUAAUUAACCAUAUACUUGUACAAAAGACAUUGACUAUUAGCAGAGUGACUCUAGCGUGGAUACUAUCACGAAGUGUUCUGGCAAACCUACCGUAAGAUGAACAGGAGGAAGCGCCUUUAUCUAAGAUCGAACUAUCUUCAAACUUGAAACUAAAACAUGAAGCUGAAAAGGAUGAGUAUAAACCAAGCGAGUGAACAUAGGAAGGGAACAAGCAAACGAUAAGGAAAGCUUUUUGAAAAUAUGAUGCACUUGUUUAAACACAAUUCAAUUUUGUAUAUUAUGAACAAAACUCAAUGCAGUGUUCUUUUUCAACUCAUUUUAAAACAUUUAGGAAGUUCAACUUCCAACAUUCAAUGUGUCAUGACUCGGUACUCCCCUCGAGCCCCUGACAACUGUCGCGGUGUCCCGAUAGACACUCAUUACUCGAAAUGUCAACCGAAACCCCGCAAGUCUUUAAUAUCAAUUUUCGCACCUCCCUAGUGAGCAACAGUUGUUAAGUAUCAUGUUUAGAGAGAUUAUAAACUAUUUCCAAAUCAAAACAAUAGAAAAAAAAAAUUUUCUCAUAGGGGCAUUUUGGUCAUUUUUCCUCAAAAGUCUUGAAACCAGCUAAAAAUGUAGUAUGUGAGUGGAAAACAGAUAAUUCAUAAUAAAAAAUAAGUUUAGAUGUCCAAAACAUUCAUUUAAAGUGAAACUAUAGCUAUUUUAAAUAUAAAUAAAAUAUUUAAUAAAAUAUUCUAUUUUCUUAUAAAACAAUAUUUAUAGAGUUACCGGUAAAUAAUUUUUGUGGCGUAAAAACUAAAUAAAUUCAUACAUAUUGUAAUACAGAUAACCAAAGCAUAAAAUUUAAUUUACAGCGACAUGUGGGCCCAUGAACGACCAAAAGUAUCAAAAGCGAUAAACCUACAGUUUUUGAGGAUGCAAGUCCAACUGUAGACCUCAACAAAGUGAGCUAUCUACCUACUAUUCUAAGCCUGAAAUGGGUGGAAAGAAGGGUGAUGAGAUUAUAUAAUCUCAGUGAGUAAACCAAUAGCAUUUAAAAUAUCUAAAGCUGAGUAAAUGGAGACAGAUUAAAAUAGAUCAUCAUACUGUAAUUCAUCACCUUUCAACUCAUUUCAACAAAAUAAAAUCAAUUCAUAUAAAUUGAGUAAUCAACAUGGCUUAUGAAUUUCUUAAAACUUUGGCUAGUGCCAAAAUCAUUCUCAUACUCAAUUAUCAAGGAUACCUUGGCCAAGGGCUAUCACAACCGAGUUUGCCAAGGCUAUUAAAAGUUAUGUACGAAUAAAUCAUGUUUUUAUUUUGAAAACAUAGUCGUUCCUUGGUGUUGGUUGAGUUCACCCUCACGUGGUGGUUUGGCGUGAAGUGAACUCUAAAGUGUUAACCUCAGAAGUUAUCCAUCCACGCCUCUCAUACUGAGGUAUGGACAUAAUAGGGUUACCGUGCCCCCUCUAAUAGGCUGGUCCACGAAACCCAUCCAUUGCAGCGACUAAUCAAUAAUCCACCAAUUCAAUAAAAUUCAAUAGCAUGGCAUGGCAAUUUUAUCAUUAUUCAGCCUAUCAAGGCAAACAACAGUUUAUACAUUUUCAACACAAAUACCAAUUCAACCAUUCAUGCCAAUAUUAUCAUAAGCCAUUCAAUUCAAACCAUGAUUUAUAACACAACAAUUAGUCUCCAAUUACUCCAUUUUCAAAACCAUCAUUCAAUUUCAAGACAAUUUAUAAAAUCAUUUCAUUUAAACAUAUUUUGUUUAUAAAACAUAAAGAUUUAUUAUUUAAACUCAUUUUCCAUAAAAUCACAAAAUCGGCUAAAAACCACUUUAGAUAAUUAAGACGAUAGUAAGGUUACUCACUAUUUUGGGAGUUGAAUUCCGAGUACUCCGAUUCUUGAUCAUCGGGUACUAUCUCUUUACUUUUGCCAGAAUGCUCACCACCUAGACAUAAUGCACAAUAAGCCAUUUACUACAUUUGUGCUAAAUUGUUAUAAAAGCAAUUCAGGCUCUAUACUAAUGCAUGAAAUGGGAUGUGAAAUACUUGGCUAACUAUCUAAAUACGGUGUUCAAUAUAAAUUCAAUUAUGUACCUAAAUAAAACGGUAUUGGCCUAAUUCGAUCUAUCACCUGAUUAAUUGGCCAAUACAUUCAAUUCAACUCCAAAUAAUUCCAUUUUUCUCCCAUUACUCCAAAUCAUCAAACACAAAUUAAAUAACUUGAAAUAUGGUAAAAUCAUCCUCACAUUUUCUCUUGGAAAAUUCGGCCAUGGUGGGUGCAUCAACAGUAUAAUUUUUCCUACUUGAUUCUCACACCAUAAAUCACUAAUUCCUAACCAAAUCACUUGAAAUAAAAUCAAAAUCAUCCUCAAUAUUCCACAUGGAGAAUUUGGCCAAUGAUGGUUGAUGGAAGAACAUGAAUUUUUCUUGCUUGAUUUUCAUGCUACCCAUCACCAACCAACUAAAACCACUAAAAUACAUUGAAAUCUAACCAAAUCAAGCAUCAAAACCUCUCUCUAAGUGUUCAACCAGCAAGAUACCCAUCAUGAAAUCAAUUGAUUCAACCAUGGAAAUGCAAAAGAAUGUAUGGGAAAUGUAGAUCACAAGUCAAAAUCAAGAAAUUUUACCUUUGAUUGCUUGAUUACUUGAAAUCCACCAAUUUUCUCUUGAGUUUUCACCCUAGGGUUCUUGUUCUUUCUUUUCUUCCUUUGUUCUUGCUUUGGCCGGC
Molecule: long non-coding RNA, 56909 nt
Filed under: Theobroma cacao (cacao)
Lineage: Eukaryota; Viridiplantae; Streptophyta; Magnoliopsida; Malvales; Malvaceae
Description: long non-coding RNA (TCAC_LNC006232)
Source: RNAcentral